This 46354-nucleotide long non-coding RNA is filed under the name Aquilegia coerulea. Its description in RNAcentral is "long non-coding RNA (ACOE_LNC001410)". The record is from RNAcentral. Lineage: Eukaryota; Viridiplantae; Streptophyta; Magnoliopsida; Ranunculales; Ranunculaceae.
AAGAGCAUUCCCAAUGGUAGGUUUUAAAUCACUUUUAGCCACUUUUAAGAAAAAACUCUUGCCAAUAGUGGGUUUUAACACACUUUUCAAGUAAAACACUUUUAUCUCCUUGGCAAAUUUGCCAAGGAGUUAAAAGUGCCACAUAGGAUCAUUUUAUUAAUUAAAAAUUAGAUUUCAUCACAAUGUACACUAUAUUUUUUUGGGGAAAAGUGAAACUAAGUUUAAACACUUAUUUUAAAACUAACCAUUGGUAACUCUAAAAGUACUAAUCACUUUUAACAUAAAUUAUUUGCUAAAACCUUUCCCCUCUCUCCUAUGUGGCACCCUUAAAACCCUUUUACUAUUGGGAAUGCUCUAAGGUCUCCAAGCUUGAAUUUCUCAAAUUCAACGUUGAAGAUGCAAGAGGUUGGUUAAGAAAAACUAGCUACUCGAGAUUUUCUAUUUAAUCCCAUUGUGAGUAAGCAAAUGGCAGUGUUUGCUUCUCUACAUCUCUAAGGUGGUGCAGAUAUAUGGUAUCAAUCUCAUUCAAGCAGUUUGGAUGUCAUGGGAUGGGAAGACUUCUAUGCUAUAAUAGUUACAAGGUUUUCUGAUGAAUCAUACAAAAAUAUAAUUGGUGAGUUUAACAAGCUGGCACAAACAUGUUUUGUAGUUGAUUAUCAAAGCAGGUUUGAAGAAUUACAAGCAUUGGUGUUAUUAUUAAAGAACAAGAAGUUAGAUGAAGAGUACUUAAGCUUCAUUAGUGGACUUAAGGAGAAGAUUAAACAUUCAGUCCAGAUGUUCAGGCCAAGGUCGUUGAUAUAAAUUACUAGGUAAAUAUACUAUUGAAUGUGGAAUUAAACAAUAGCAGUAAAUAAGAUGAACAAAACAUAAGAUCUGGAAGAAAAAUUUCUUUUUUAUUGAAUAUUAUGAAGAUUACAAGAAUCUCUGCCUCACAAUACUCUCUAGACAAGCUAAGCCUUAGUUGAUUCUCUUAUAAUUCUAAACAUACUAAACAUUAGUGGUUUCUCUAAACAAGCUAAAAUAAGUUAUGUUUGGUCUCUAUAUGUUUUGGUUUAUGCCAAAACAUCAAUAUUUAUAGGCUUUGGACAACUUGUAGUUAGCCAAGGAAAAGGAUUUUCUUUUUCUUAAAUAUCUUAUCCUUGGGUAUGGAACAACGAAAACUUUAAUAAAGAUCUUCCUUUACUUGUCCCACAAGGAAAAGGAAACUAAGUUCCUAAAAUAAGGAUACACCUGUAUCAUUGCUCCCCCUUUAGGAACUUAAACUCCCGUUUAAGUUACAAACAGAGAUUAGGAAACUUGAGAGCUCCCUCAUCUCUUUGUUGAACCAUUUAGCUUUACUUGGAACUUGACCAACACGCCCAAUACGAAACAUUAAUCGUCUCCCAUUUCGUGUCUUAGUCACCUUGAAUAUUUCCUCUUGAUCAACCCAAGGACAUGUCAUCAAGACAAACUUCCCACAAGCAUUUACUAACCUUUAACAUGUGUUGUCAUUACUAAGUCAAUUCCUUUUGGAGGUGGAAUUGCUUGAAUAACAAACUGUUCUCCAUUCGUAGUGAAUGUAUACUUCUUAGCCCUCCUAUCAAAAAAAGCAUACCUAUCCCAAAAGUAGAGAUUUCCUAGAACAACCUGACAAACAUCCAAUGAAACAACGUCACAUGUCACCUCGUCAAUAUAAGACUCACGAAGAGCAAACUUGAACGUGUAUUGAUGUUUCACACUCCCUACGUCCUUCUGAAUCCAUCCCAAUGGAUAAUUGAUAGAUGGUAAAUUAACUCCACCUAAACAAAAGAUUAUAUUUUUAUGAUUUUCCUUCUUAUGCCUGUAUAAAUUGGUUAUCAAAGUAGACAAGUAACAAGCAAGGGUCGUACCCACCUCAGAUGGGGAGAUCUUAGCUCAAACACAAUAGAAAAUAAUUGUUAAGAAACACCAAGGGAAUUAAUAAUAAGAAUUGAGAUUGAUUCUAACUUCCUACAGACAAUAAUGAAAUACACCCUAACUUAUAAGAAGAUGGUAGAGAUGUAAAGAAGAUUAAUGAUGACAAAGGGGGAAGAAUUGGUAUCCACAAACUAAAUCAUGCAAACAUAACAUGUUGUUCCUUCAUGUUCAAUAUAUAAUAAUUAAUUAGUCACCUCUCAACUAUUCAAAUUAAUCAUUAAUACCUAUAAUAAUCAAGUAGUCACCUCUCAGCUAUUCCACUCAAUUAAAACAAGAUUCUCUUAUGCAUGCUAUUGAAUAUGUCUUAUUAAUCAAACUGUCACCUCUCAGCUAUUCAAUUUAAUUAACUCAACAUAUUGAUUCAUAACUAAAUCAUCACCUCUCACCUAUUUGACUUAAUUACAAAAGGGUUCCAAUAAAAGAUAUCAACUGCAGAUAUGUAAUAAUCACCUCUCAGCUAUUUUAUUGCACAUCUUUAAUCAAUAUAAAUAAAACCAUUAAAGUUAGGUCUCCCUAAACCCUAACAAUAGUAUUUUAAUAAUAUGAAUAACAAUAACAUGCAAAUAAUCAUACUUACCUCAUAUCGCGAAUUAGAAGUAAAUAAGCAUUAAGUAUUUUGAAUCACAAAGAACAAUAAGAACAAACAUGGUGUUUUUGCAUCAUCUAGAGUGCUUCAACCAUCCCCCUAAGGAUAUUUACCUACUCAUCCUUGAUGAUGACACCAUGGAAUAAAUAAUAAAACAUCAUAAUGAAAAAGAUAAUGAAAUUGAUAUUGAAUAUUGAGUUUGAUAAAAAAGAAGAAGAAAAAGAAGAUGAACUUUUCUCUUCAAACUUCAAUUCAUAAAAAGCUACCUAAACCUUAGCUACUACUUCUCUUAUAUAGAAAAUACAAAGUAGAAUACUUGCAUGCAAAGACUUCCAAAUUAGGUCAAAUUCGUGGCUGCUGCUGUUGGUCUUCUAAAGGCAUUAGGUCUUCAGCAAAACCUAAUUCUCUUGGGCUUAUGUUGUAGCUUGGACCAAGACCUUCAGUUUGAUAGCUCAUGGGCCCAAAUCAGACUUCUGGAUCUCCUUGUAGAGCCUUUUUAAGAUUGGACUUUAAAUAAAACCCUAAAUAGAAAUUCUGACUUGUGGGCUCCAAUAGGACCCGGUUUGGGCUGAGAUUUGGACCGCCCCAUUUUGACAUAAAGUCAAGUCAACAGGACUGACCAUGGAGUGCCCUCAGCAGAUCUGUGGUGCAAAUAUCAAUUUUCCUUCUCUUGCACAAAUAACACCUUUUUGCUUGCUUUUCUUCACUUUUGGCGGGCUUUAAAACAAUAUUCGCAUUUCAGCUCAUAAAACCUACACAAUAGACAAGAAAACACUAAUCAAUAGAUAUAAUACAAUAAUAUAAGCUAAGGGACCAUUCGGCAACAACGUUGGAAUGCAUUUUCUAACUUUCUAAAAGGAAAGAAGUAGAAAGGAUGUUCGGCAAACCUUAAACAAGAAAAUAGAAAGUACUUUCCAUAAGUUGGGAAAAGAAUUUUUAAAGAAGUUUUCUAUAUUAGCUUUUUCUUUCUCCUUUCUCAUUUCUUCAACUGCUACUUUCCCGAAAAUUCCUUCCGAACUUCUCCUAAUUUGCCGAACGAGCCCUAAGUGCUAGACAAACAAGAUGUUAUUCGGGGAUAAAUAUACACUUUUGAGGAUUUAUCAAAUACUCCCAAACAACACUUUGCUUGUCCUCAAGCAAAGGUGAGAAGAAAAGAAUUAAGGACUCAAAAGAGAAGUAAAACUAAGGUGAUUGCAUUAACCAUAUGCAUCAAGACUUUCAACCACAAGGAUUUCCCCAACUGGAGGAGUUAUAGUCUCCUAAGGGUUUUCCAGAGAAGAUACCCACAAACUUACUACAAUGACUAAUCCAAAGAAUAGGAAUUUCUACCAUUUACCUCAGAAAUGGUCAUAUCAAGGAUAAGGAUAAGUAUUGCAAAACCGUUCAUAUGAGAUAGCAUAUUACAAAUGCAUGAAUAAGAUAUAAAAUAUAAACCAAGCAUAACGGUUUCAAAUGCAUUGAGGACAGGCAUGUACCCAUACUACCACGGGUCUCAAGUCACCAUUGGAAACGUCGCUUUGACUUCUGCCUCACAGACAUACACUCAGAAAUAAAGGUCACUCAGAGAUGGUGUUUAUCAUUUUACCUCUAUGUGAGGAAAGAAGUUGGACAAGCAUCUCACAUAUAUCAACAAAAACGGACUAGUGUAAUGGAGUGAACUUAGUCUCAAAGAAUGGAAAAAAUUAGCCUUGCUUGAGAUGUCGGGUUUUUCACCUCAGCACCUUCUCACUUACUCGCCACAUCCUACCAUAUCAUCUUAGAUCUACAAAAGACAAUAAUGGGUUGUAACUUGGCUUAGGAUAGGGCUAGAAAUGGAAAAGGUUUUUGUGAAAUAUUUUUGGAACAUUCGGGCCUUCAACACUUGUGAUUUGUAAUAACAUUACAUGGAGAAAUUUGGAAUUUUUCUUUUGGGAAGAAGUGUUUCUCAUCUUCUUUUGGGAAAAUUUCAAUGAAGCUCUAGCCAAUAUUUUAGAAUCUUCCAAUCUUUUUGGAUUUGAAAUAGUUUGGAAGAUUCUGGCUUUUUCUAGAAUUCUUCAAACUUUUUGAUUUUUAAUAUUUGGUUUAUCUCACUGGUUUGGAGAUUUCUUUUGUAUUUCUCAUUUCUUCUUGUAACCACAUAACAAUCAUCCUCAUGUUCCAAAAACAAUAGGUAAAAGGACCUAAACAUUCUACGGGUAUUAACUCCCACAAUGGAGUUGGGUAAGGUUAAUGGGCUCAAAAAAAAGGCUAAAGUAACAAGAAAGGCUCAGAAUGGUUAAUCUAAGGGAAACAUAUCAUCAGGGUAGGCUAAGGUAAACAAUGUUUAACUAAAUGUCUUUGUAUCAUUUCUAAGUACUGAUAUGGUAUCUUGAAUAAGCUACAAGACCCAAGUUUAUAUUACACCCACUUGAUGUCAUCUCAAGGCUAAUUAUAAAAAUGAAUAUGAGACUAAAAACAGAUAAAACUGAGAGGUUGAUUCUUUUGACUCCAGAUGUACGUAAUAUCUCUCCAAGAAAAGGACGCGGCUCAAAAGCUCGCUGGGUUAAGUCUCCACACUUAUUCCUCAAGUUUCUCAAGGUGUAGUUGUAUUUGCACAUGUAAUCUGUAAUAAAUGAAAGUGAAUGCCAUACUUAUGCUCAUGCAAAUGUAGUAUAAGACUCAACUACUUGGUGAAGCAAUAAAUGUCCUUAAACUUGAAAAAGAUAGAAUUCAACCAUUAUAUUCAUCAUUGAUGGUGUACUUAUCCUAUUUUUUUUGAAAAAGUUUGUAACAAAGAUUUUGGUUGAUUUUUUUAAAAUUUUAAAUUUUUACAUAAGUAUGAAUAAAGAAGUUUGAAAAUCAUUUGCAAAAAGGAUUGUAAUACUUCCCCACCCCUAAACAAGAAGAUUACCUUGUCCUCAAGGCUCAUACUAACCAUAGGAGAGAGAGAAAGAAAGAUAUUACCAUGAAUGUACUAAAAAUUCAAACCACUUUAUAAAUUCCUGCCAAUCAAAAUUAUCUCCACAUAGAUAGAGAUUACAGGGAAUUCCAUACUACGACACAACUGAAAUAAAAUAUACUGAAAUAAGGGACUGACUCAACAGAAAGGGAAAUCCUACUUUACACUCUUGGUUUCAAACUUCUUCCAUUGGCAAACCAUCCAACCUAUCGCGCCACUCAACUAAUCCCUCUUUAAUCACAUUCCAAGGACCCUCACCCUCAUUCAUAAAAUUAUCGUUUCUAUGCAAAGCAGGAAGCUCUACAUAUUCAGUGUUAGGUACUCAAGUGAAUAGGCGACUUCUGAUAAAACGAUGAGUUGGAUCCACAGGGAUGAGAUGAGUCAAAUCAUUGUACCUGUUCCUCCACUCAGGAUAGCUUUCAAGAAUAAUCUUACAGAUAGCAGUAUGGAAAACAAGCUUAUCCUCACCGAAUACGAGGACAUUCCUAAUACCAUCUAAAUCCAAGUGGAUAAGUCAAGAGCAUAAAAAUUUGUAACAAUACCAACGACGACAUGCAUAGUACUAUCAUUGACAUAAUCCAUCUUCUCAACACCCAAUAAAUUACGCAAAACCCAUAAAACAGCAGUAGCUACAUUAGCAGGAAGGCAAGUGGUAGGUGCAAUACUAGGGUAUCCUUCGGGGUGGAAGGAGAAGGUACAAGGGCCAAAGUGAUUAAGAUAAUUGUCUAUGAUGUCUACACGGUUAUCACGAACAUAAUUGUCAUAGGGCACGACUGGUUGAAAGACAAAAAGAUUAGCCAUGGCAAUAGAGACGACAAUAGCAUUAAAAACCACCGAGGAACCAUGCAUGUGAACUUGGAAACCAUCAAAAGGAAGAGGGUCGGCAAAACGUAACAUAAGGUAAAAGUCUCUUACCAUAGAAGGGGAAUACACAACAGUAGAAUCAUAAAGAAAACAUUCCCAAUCUUUGUCAAAAAUCCCAUCCCGAAAAGACGCUCCAUAAGGACUAUCCAUAAUUCCUGAAAAAUCCAUCUCGGGGAUGAUAUCCAUGCCAUCGGGCAUCCACAACCCAUUCUGAACAUUAGCUUGCAAAAGAAAAGAGAAAACACCAAAAAUCAAUGCGAAAACCGAGAAAAAACCACACAAAAUGAACUCAGAAAACUGCUGCCAGACUAGAACUCGACUCGAGUUUUAAUAACCCUACCUGGAACUCGACUCGAGAUCGGGUAGGUUCCAGAAAAUAAAAAAAUUGAAAAAGAGUUUCUGAAUUUUGAGUGACGGUCCCCCAACCCGUUUGGUAUAUAUAGGCCAAAAUGAAAAAGAUUAAGCCCUAAUAGGACACCAAAAAUUUCUAAAACCUUAGGGUAUCCAAAUAAUCAAACCCUAAUCUUUUUUUUUUUUUUAAUAUUUGGACUUAGGUCCCUAGGAACAAAAAAUUUCAAAAUAAGUCCACAAGUCCAGAUUUUUGCAAUAAAGCCCAAGAAUGGCUAAAAAUUUCAGAAAAAGACACAAGUUGCAAAAAAAUUUAAAUCUAAACCAUUUUCAUUAAUAUUUGGAAAUAAAGUACAAUGAUUAAAGUCUAAAUACAAGAGUGCAAAAAGUAAACAAAAUACAAAAAAAAAAAAAAUAGAAACUAAAACUACAAUGGCUAGUAACUAAAACUCCCAACCACGUCGUCGACGAGGCUGCCCUUGGCCUUCAUCAAAGCGACGCUGCAAGUCCUCGACCGCAUCCAUGAUCUCGCCCAUAUCCCUCCAGAGAAGCUGGAACCGCUCCUCGUUGGUAUGGAGCUGGUGAAUUGCCCAUUGGUCGUCGGGCCUGUACUGAAUGGGCACCUCCUCCUGAGGGUCCCACAACAACUGUCUGCAAGCAGACAAUCCCGGGUUGGAGACCUCGAGGCGAACGACCGACUCCAGAGAAAGAGCAGGAAGAAGAGGCGCCUCCCAGUAGCGCAGGAUACUCAUCACCAGGCUUGGAAGGGGUGCAGAAGUGGCUCGAGCGCCGGUGAUGGUAGCGAAAAGACGGCGGACAAUACAGUAGCCGUGGAGCUCCUCCUGAAGAAGUUGCAGGAUAUGGAUACCUUCCGAGAACAGCUCGCUCGUCCUCGUCGUCCCAAGGACAUUGGUGGUCAGCCAGUGUGCCACCAAGCCCUGGUUAACUCGGACGCAACCGAUCGAAAUGUGACUGCUAUACCGGUGAACCGCCCGGUCAUCGACGAGGACAGUGUAACGCCCCGGGAUUUCGUCGAGCACCAUACUGCUCGCUAAUGUCAAUAUUGUCCCCCUUUAGUCACUGCGGAUAUCCAUCAGUAGAGGGUUUUGGAUCAGGGCCCACCCAUGUGGUUCACCCCAAAAGGCCUUGACAUUAGUUAGAGUAUGGUUAAGCUCUAUAUACUACCAAUACAACCACUUCCUUGGCAAUGUGGGACUAACACCAACUCAUGGGUGUUACAAUCUCACCACCUUAGAAAUAGAGCCGUCCUCGGCUCUGCGUUACACUCAGUACAAUCCCAAAAUCUCCGACGUUACCUGCCAAGUGAGACAAGUACUUGGCGCUCCCUGGGCCUUUCCAGCAUACUUCCCACCUGCAACAGGCGACCCGUCGUCGGCUCUGAUACCAACUGUAACGCCCCGGGAUUUUGUCCUCGCUCAUCCCGGUGCGUCGAGCACCAUACUGCUCGCUAAUGUCAAUAUUGUCCCCAUUUAGUCACUGCGGAUAUCCAGCAGUAGAGGGUUUUGGAUCAGGGCCCACCCAUGUGGUUUACCCCAAAAGGCCUUGACAUUAGUUAGAGUAUGGUUAAGCUCUAUAUACUACCAAUACAACCACUUCCUUGGCAAUGUGGGACUAACACCAACUCAUGGGUGUUACAAUCUCACCACCUUAGAAAUAGAGCCGUCCUCGGCUCUGCAGUACACUCAGUACAGUCCCAAAAUCUCCUACGUUCCCUGCCAUGUGAGACAAGUACCUGGCGCUCCCUGGGCUUUUCCAGCGUACUUCCCACCUACAACAGGCGACCCGUCGUCGGCUCUGAUACCAUCUGUAAUGCCCCGGGAUUUCGUCCUCGCUCAUCCCGGUGCGUCGAGCACCAUACCGCUUGCUAAUGUCAAUAUUGUCCCCCUUUAGUCACUGCGGAUAUCCAGCAGUAGAGGGUUUUGGAUCAGGGCCCACCCAUGUGGUUCACCCCAAAAGGCCUUGACAUUAGUUAAAGUAUGGUAAGCUCUAUAUACUACCAAUACAACCACUUCCUUGGCAAUGUGGGACUAACACCAACUCAUGGGUGUUACAGACAGCCUCGAUGAUGUCCGGGGUCACCAGUGCAGCCUCCUGCUGUAGAAGGGCCUCAUCAAGCUCGAGCGCCGUGACUAAGGAGACUCUCAGGCGUGAGCAAGAAGCGAUGGGUCGGAUCCCAGUUGAUGAAAACGCCGUCAUCGGUCAACUCCAUUGACUCGUAAAAUCGAUGAACCAUUUGAGGGUCAAAUGGCUCGUGAUCAGAGCUAAGGAGUACAUCCCAACCUCGGGCGUGAAUUAUCUCCACAAACCCACUCCCAAAGCGAUUAUCGUCGAAGAGAUGAGAAUAAUCGCGUUCACGAAUGAUCACUCUAGAUCUAACUCUAGGAGGCAUGAUUCUCGGAGAUUUUGGUAUGGAAUUGAAGGGAUUUGAACAAGGAACAAAACCCCGAAAUGUUUUUCAAAUUUGGACAAGAAUUGAUCGAGAUACGAAGAGAGAGAAACUGGAUCUGUUGCGAAACUCGAGUCGAGUUCUGUUUACACAGUACUGAUCUCGAGUCGAGUUCUGGAGGAGAUAAGACUUUCUGUUGACUUGGUUUGACCCGGUUUUGACUAAGAAUGAAAGUGAGUCAAUAAAAUUCCAAAAACCAAGCAAUAAUUAUUAAAAUCCUAAAAAUUGAAAAAAAUUCAAAUUUGUAACCGUAAUAGUUAUUUAACCAACAAGCCACAAUAGAGAGGGGUGGGCCACGGCGUGGCCCACCCCCAAAUAGAAAUAACACGCAGAUCUGAAAGAAAUUGUUAUUAGCCAAAAAACAACUAAACCCGGCAACAAAUAAGAAGCAAAAAUGCACGAUCGGGCUUAGAAGAUACACAGGGCUGCCUCUCAGGAGCGCUAAGUUUAACGUCUUCAGCUAGACAGGCGGACAACCAGGAUUCACUCUCUAGAUAAACAAAGAUACAGGAGAGAUAAAACGCUAAAGUGGAAUGCGCGAAAUCCUGAUGUCUAAUAUACAACAAAGAGUAUUUUAAAGUCAGAUACUCGAGACUUAAAAGAAGAUGGGAAAUUACUUCUCCACCCCCAAACAAAGCGGGAAACAGGUCUAUUUGGUGAUGACGCUCAAGAGAAAAACGUGCACUGGAGAAAAACGUGCACUGGAUCAAUUAUACUUAGCCAGUAAGAGUUUGUGGACUAUGGCUCCGGCACUUUCAACCACACCUCUGAAAAAGAGACAACAGAAUAGAGUAAGAGAGGGUCCGGAUACCAACAGGUCAAGGUUCAGUCUAAAUAGGUAGGGUCCUCUAAGAGAGUUUCUUCAACUUCAGGGGACCUUAAUUCAUGGAAAUGCUUAAGACGUUGACCAUUGACUUGAAAUUCAGAAUUGUCUGCAGGGUUUAAAAAUGUACCAUAAGGCGUCACUGCAGACACAUCAAAGGGACCCGACCAACGAGACUGUAGUUUAACAGGAAAUAAAUACAACCUAGAGUUGUACAGUAAAACUUUGUCCCCAAUUUGAAAAUCUCUACGUAAGAUAUGACGAUCAUGUAGUUUUUUCAUGUUAGCAUUAUAGGACUUGAAAAGAUCAUAAACUUCAUUCUGAAGUUCCUCAAGCUCAGAAAGUUGGAGUUUUCUCCUCUUACCUGCCUGGUCGAUAUUAAAGUUGAGCUUUGUCAUUGCCCAGAAGGCUCGGUGCUCAAGCUCUACAGGUAGGUGACAGGGUUUUCCAAAUACAAGACGAAAGGGAGACAUGCUUAUGGGAGUUUUAAAAGUAGUACGAUAGGCCCAUAAUGCAUCACUGACUCUACGAGACCAAUCAACCUUUUCAGGGUCAAUUGUUUUUUGCAAAAUGUUUUUAAUCUCUCUAUUGGAAACCUCAGCUUGGCCAUUGGUUUGCGGAUGGUACGCAAGGGCCACUUUGUGAGUAACUCCGUACUUUUGGACAAGUUUUUGAAAAGCUUUAUUGCAGAAAUGGCUCCCCCAUCACUAAUGAUCGCACGAGGAGCGCCAAAUCGGGCAAAUAUGUACUCUUUGAUAAAAUAUACAACAGUUUCUUGGUCGUUGUGCCUUGUGGGAAUGGCCUCGAUCCAUUUAGAAACAUAGUCUACUGCGACCAGAAUGUACAAAAAACCAUGACAACCAGGAAAAGGGCCCAUGAAAUCUAUGCCCCAUACAUCAAACACUUCCACAGGAAGGAUUGGCUGUAAGGGCAUCAUGUGUCGCCUAGUGAUUUUCCCUAGUUGUUGACAAUGAAUGCAGACAGUACAAUGCAUGUGAGUGUCCUUAAAAAGAGUCGGCCAAUAAAAACCACACUGCAAUACUUUAGCAGCUGUCUUCUUGGCACUAAAGUGUCCACCACAAGCAUGUUCAUGGCAGAAUUUAAGGACCUCUUGUUGCUCCCAGUCGGGAAUCCAACGACGAAUGAUCUGGUCAGGACAGUACUUAAAAAGGUAAGGGUCAUCCCAUAAAUAAUGCUUGGCAUUAGCAAGGAAUUUGGAUCUAUCUUGCUUGUUCUAAUUACUUGGAAACUUGUUGCUAGCCAAGUAAUUAAUUAACUAUAUCUGCGAACCAUGGAGCAUUCGAUAUUGCAAAAAGAAGUUCAUCAGGAAAGUUCUCAGAAAUGACACUAGAAUCCUCAGGAUGGUCGAGUCUAGACAAGUGGUCGACUACUACAUUUUUGGUCCCUUUUUUAUCUCUAAUUUCAAGGUCAAAUUCUUGAAGCAACAAAAUCCAACAAAAUCUCUAAUAGCAGCAUGAUCCGUGAGGAUGACAGUACAGGUACCUAAAAGGUAGGAACAAAACUUAUCAAGAGCAUAUACUAUGGCUAACAAUUCUUUCUCCGUCGUGGUAUAAUUACGUUGAGCAUCAUUGAGAGUCUUGCUAGCAUAAUAUAUCACAUGGGGCUUACCAUCUAGACGUUGACCUAAAAUAGCCCCAACAACAAAGUCUGAUGCAUCGCACAUCAGCUCAAAGGGUUUACUCCAAUCAGGUGGCCUCAUGAUGGGUGCAGUGGUGAGGGCGGUCUUAAGAUUUUCAAAGGCACUCUUGCAUUCUUUUGUGAAAUCAAAAGGAGCAUCCUUAAGCAAUAAAUUGGUUAAGGAGCGAGCUAUCUUUGAAAAAUCUUGGAUAAAGCGUCGAUAGAAUCCUGCAUGGCCUAGAAAGGCUCGAAUAUCCCUAAUAGACUUAGGAAUAGGCAAGGAUGAAACAAGAUCUACUUUAGCUUUAUAAAACUGGAUACCCUCAGAAGAGACUACAUGACCAAGAACUAUCCCCUUCCUAACCAUAAAAUGUCACUUUUCCCAGUUAAGUACCAAAUUCUUCUCAAUGCAACACUUAAAAACCGAGGAAAGAUGACUAAGACACUCUUCAAAAGAUGAACCAUAUAUGGAGAAGUCAUCCAUAAACACCUCUAUAAAUCGUUCUACCUUAUCACUAAAGAUGUGUAACAUACACCUCUGGAAAGUAGUAGGUGCAUUACACAGACCAAAAGGCAUACAGGCAUAAGGGAAAGUGCCAAAGGGACAAGUAAAUGUUGUCUUCUCUUGAUCUUCAGGGGCGAUGGGGAUUUGAUUGUAACCGGAGUAACCAUCCAAGAAACAAUAGAAGGAAUGACCAGUCAGACGUUCCAACAUCUGGUCUAUGAAGGGAAGAGGAAGUGGUCCUUCCGGGUGAGUGUAUUAAGCUUUCUAUAGUCGAUACAAACACGCCACUUGGUUGGAACUCUAGUGGCGACUUGUUCAUUCUUAUCAUUGGUAACUACAGUCAUGCCGGCCUUUUUAGGAACCACAUGAAUAUAAUAGGACAACUUCUUUCAUCACAGGGUUAAGACGUCUCUGAGGUUUACGAGAAGUUUUAGCAUCGUCCUCAAGAUGAAUACGAUGAGAACAAAAAGAAGGGCUAAUGCCUUUAAUGUCAUGGAUAGACCAGGCAAUAGCAGAACGAUGCUCUAAGAUAAAUUCUAACAGCUGACUCUCCUGUUUGGUAGUAAGAGAUGAAGAAAUAAUAACAGGAUGACUAUCGUCCGAAUCAAGAUGACCAUAUUUUAGCUCAGGAGGAAGAGGAUUCAGAGUAACAGGAGGUGUAGUGAUGGUCUCUACUUGGGUCUCAGAAUCUAUGCCAUAAACCGAAUCAAGGGCCUCAGGGUCUUUAGGUUCAAAGAUAGGCACAGUAUCAAGAAAAACAUUGGUUUGGGCAAUAGAUUGGUCAAUGUCAAAGUCUAAAUUAUGCAUGGCAAGGCAGUGAACAACCGGAUCUUCAGGGUAAUAAUUAUGCACCAUCUCAUAAGGUAAUGAGUCUAGAAAGCACACAUCUUCAGAUAAGGAAAGAUCAGGGGGUUGUUGGCCAAGGUUAAAUAUAUUAACUUCAACAGUCAUAGAGCCAAAAGUGAGAACCAUAGAACCGUUCCGGCAGUUUAUGAGAGCAUUAGUGGUGGCAAAAAAUGGACGGCCAAGGAUGAUGGGUACCGAGUCAUCGGCAGUAGGUUCAAUAUCCAACACCACAAAGUCGACAGGGUAGUAAAAGUCAGACACUUUAACUAGUAGGUCCUCAACUACACCUCUAGAUACUUUCAAUGAUCUGUCGGCCAGUUGUAAAGAUAUUUUUGUGGGUUUCAUGUUUGUUAGAGUCAGGCUGAGGUACAAGGAGUAAGGCAAAAGAUUAACACUCGCUCCUAAGUCUAGCAAAGCUUUUCCCAUGAACUUGUCACCUAGCUUGCACGGUAUGGUCGGUUUUCCAGAGUCCUUAUAUUUUACCACGCCGUUAUGUUGGACAAGUGCAGAGAAUUCCUCUCCCACAAACACGUUUUUAGACACAUUUGUUUUUCUCUUGGCGGUGCACAAGUCCUUCAAAACCUUGGCAUAGGAAGGUAUCUGUAUAAUAGCCGUGAGGAAGGGUAUGUUAAUAUUAAUAUGUUUGAACACAUCAACUACUUCCUCUGCUUAGACUUCCUUCAGAGACCUUGUGAGUCUCUGGGGGUAAGGUACAGACGGGUUGUAAGUUCGUGGAGGAUCCACAAUCUCACGGGCUGUCUUCUUCGGCUUAGAGGUGGUCGCCUCAUUAGCCGGAGCAUUAGGUGGGGCAACAGGUGCAGAGGUAACCGGGGUCACAAUGGUAGGACUCGGUGUAUAAUUAAUUUGAUUAUCAACCCAUUUUCCUGACCUAAGGGUGGAAACCGAUUUUACUUCAGCAGGCGGUACAGACGGAGAUGGAGUUUCCGUCACCAAGACAACUUCCUUGCCUUUGGGGUCGGGAUGGACUGUCCCGGAAAUCUACCUUUUUCAUCAAGUUAUUGUUCAAUCCUCUGGAUGGCUUGGGCAUUUGAUUCAAUGGACGCUUGGGUCUGUUGAAUGAAACGGGCAAGCACAUCCUCAAGGGAGGUCUUAGGAGGGGCAGAUUGAUUAGUUAGCAUAUGGUCCCUGGAACUAUUCAUGGUAUGAGCAUUGUUCAAGUAAGGGGGGACCGGUGCCCUGUUCCGAUUAUCAGUGUUACCAACAUACGUGGCAUUGCUACGUUGUCCAUAAGAGUUAUUAAAAGCUGCUGGAGCCGCAUGAUAAUUAUUAGAAUAAGACAGAUUGGAACGGUCCAUGUAUGGGUACGUGGCAUUGCCCUUAGUAAAGUUGGUUCUCCCGGCGUAGUUAAAUGCACAUGCUUCCUCAGUUUCUGGUGAAUUAUAAAGGAGAGGGUAGAAUUCGGCAGUAUGGGUCUGGUCAUGACAAACAUCACAUUGGAGAGUGGAGGCACUCAUAACAGGUGAUGUGGGUUUUAAGGACACGCCAAGUGCUUAUACAUGUUUUACUAAACCAUGAAGUAAAGUUUUAAGCUCAGAGUCAGGUUUGACUUCAUAUAUACCUCUAGGUUUAUCAAAUGAGUAUGGGGUAGUGUUUCUCGAGGUAUGUCCAGGUAUGCGAUAAGUCCUCAAAAGUGUAUAUUUAUCCCCCGAAUAACACCUUGUUUGUCUAGCACUUAGCUUAUAUUAUUGUGUUAUAUCUAUUGAUUACUGCUUUCUUGUCUAUUGUGUAGGUUUUAUGAGCCGAAAUGCGAAUAUUGUGUUAAAGCCCGCAAAAAGUCAAGAAAAGCAAGUUAAAAGGUGUGAUUUGCACAAGAGAAGGAGAAUUGAUAUUUGCACCCACAGAUCUACUGAAGGCACCCACGGUCAGACCAGUUGACAUGACUUUAUGUCAAAGUGGGGCGGUCCAAAUCUCAGCCCAAAUCGGGUCCUAUUGGAGCCCACAAGUCAGAAUUUCUAUUUAGGGAUUUAUUUAAAGUCCAAACUUAAAAAAGCUCUACAAGGAUAUCCAAGUCUGAUUUGGGCCCAUGAGCUAUCAAACUGAAGGUCUUGGUCCAAGCUACAACUUAAGCCCAAGAGAAUUAGGUUUUGCUGAAGACCUAAUACCUCAAGAAGACCAACAGCAGCAACCACGAAUUUGAUCUAAUUUAGAAGUCUUUGCAUGCAAGUAUUCUACUUUGUAUUUUCUAUAUAAGAGAAGUAGUAGCUAAGGUUUAGGUAGCUUUUUAUGAAUGGAAGAUUGAGGAGACAAGUUCAUCUUCUUCUUCUUCCUUUGUAUCUGUAUUAACCUAUUUCUAGAUUAAUGCACUGCUGGGUCAGGUCGCUGGGAAGACUUGACCAAAUGGGGAUGUUUGAGAUCGGGGUGGCUGCACCUCGUUGAGAUCGAGAUUGCCUACGUACUCUAGCUCGGGGGAAUUGAACUUAGAGAUCAAGCCAUCAUAGUUCUGUUUAUAUAGAAGAUAGAAGGGCGUGGAUCGUGGAUCUUGCAGAUUCUCCGCCAUCAUAAUGAGGAAUAAAUGAGUAACGCGCGCGGAUUAUCCCUGUGAAUUAAUUAUGUAACUGAUGAGAAUAUUCUGUGCAUUGAAUGAGAGCACGUGUGUAUAGUAGGUCGCUGCUCGUUGUUUGGUCAGGUCGCUUUGGUCGAGCUGCUAGCAGGUAGAGACCGUGGCGACCUGAUGGAUGGAUGAUUGUGCCACGUGGCUGCUUUUGAUUGGUCGAAGUAUGUAGUACCCCUACAUAAGCCCCCUCUUUUUAGGUCAGCUGUAGUAGUCGGGCUGAAAAGACUAAGAACUCUGAUCGAUGCUGAUUUGUAGUUUGCUUUUUUGAAUCCGCGGAUGUGGCAGUCAUGCAGGCCUGUCUGUACUAAUCAUGGCGCUUUUACGGGGAAGUGGAUGAUUUUCCUCAAGCAGUUAUCGGUGUAGUUAUUGCAACUGACGCACGUAUUGCUUGAUUUAAUAUCUGUCUUGCACGUGGACUGAUCCAACGGUGGAUACAAACCGUUUUGUGAGUGGAGAAUAACUGCAGUGCAUAUUGAUCCUUUGUUCGAUCUCAGCCGUUCGUUUGUUUUGAACCGAUGGCUGGAAAUGCUUGAGCUACAGUAUAUAAACUGUAGUUACCUUGAGAAGGGUUUACCUAUCUUGCCUUUACUUGAGUUGCUGCCGCUUUUCAGUUGCGAUCUGAAGAACUUUGAGAGUUCGUGAGGUUUGUUUUCUCUUCUUGUUAUUUCUUUGAUCUUCUGUUUUGUUUUCUUUCACCUUCUGUUUUCUUGUAUAUUGGUUGAGAGGAAUGUCUGACGCUAGUGACUCUCAAAAUGAUCACUUGAGUGGUGGUGGUGAUGAGGAGAUUGAGUCUGAGGGUACUCGAUCUGACACUCCGUCUCCCGUUCGUGAUGAAGAGGUAGAUAGUCCUCAGAGUAGUGGUUCUCAUGGGGUAGACUCUUCUGAUGAUGAAUUGGUGGAGGGAGACGGUGGUGUAAUGUGUAGGGUUGUAAAUAUGAACUAUGUAAAUAGGCAUAUCGUAGUUAGGAAAAUGUAUGGGUUUAGGUAGAUUAGGCAUUUGGAGAUUAGAUUUCUAGUAGAUCGUUUACUUUCCCCUGAGUAUCGACCUAAUAACCCUUUCUCAACUGUUUUUACUUUGCCCCAAUUCCGUGCUGGGUUGAGGUUGCCAUUGUCUCGAUUGGUGGUCGACCUGUUGAAUGCCAUUAGUCGAGCCCCCUGCCAGAUGAAUGGUAAUUUCUGGCGGAAUAUGAGGGUAAUUGACGACCUCAACAAGUUGCAUAGGUGGAACAUUACAGUGAAAGAUGUACUGAACCACUUCAGCUUCAAACGCUCCUCGAAGGUUGAACUCUCAGGCUAUAACAUGCAAGUUAGGCCAGACCGUUUGCCAUUAAUCUAUCCAGUAAGUAGCGAGCCAUGGUGGAAAGAUCCCAUGCUGCUUACUGGGUCGAUUGUUGAAGGGGAUAUCCAGUUGCGUCAUACGAUUAGGAAUGACGCUCGUAAGUUUGUUGUCUGUAGUACUAGGAUUGUUGAUUUGUCUUCCUGUUUCUGAACUUGACGUCUUUGUAUUUUUUGUUGCAGCGAUCCGGGACGAUCAUUUGAUUAGAAAAAACGAUCUGAAAUCUGCUCUGAACAGCUUUGGUAAGUUGAGCGACGAGCGGAAGAUCUCGUUUCUACCCCACCUAAAGGAGCAUUUUAUUCCUAAAGGUGGUCCAAAAACUGUUUGGGACGAGCUCGAGAGGAGGAAAGCUUUGAAGAAAGCAUAUAUGUCUUCUGUUCACAAAUCUGCAGGUGGGCGAUCUGGUAGUAGCUUGCGAGCUGAUGAAAGCGAACGGGCUAGUGGUGGUUCGAGGCAGGGGGAGAGGGAGCGUUCUGUUGGUGCUCCUCUGAGGUCGGGAAAGAGUCGACCUGUUGACAAGGAUCGACCUCUGGUGCAGGAACGAUCUGUGGAGAGGGAGCUACCUGUGGAAAGGGAGCGCUCUGCUGGUAGUUCUCGCCAGGUUGAAGCAAUGGCGAGCCCUCCAGUCUCCGGUCCUCCCGCCUCACUUCCUAAAGUAGGUGCCUUGGCUGGGAAGAAGAGGUCCUUCGCAGGGAACCUUAAGCUAAUGGAGUUCCCAGCUAUGCCAGCCCCUGUUUCUUCAACGCCUUUGACGUCUCCUGGGAUGUCGGCUUUGUCCAGGAAGACUGCUCCUCGGCCUUUGCAGAAAGGCAAAGGUACUUUGUCUGAAUUCCGCCCCGGGCCAUUCGAUUAUUUGGAUGGUCAAGGAGAGAAGCAUGUCGUUUAUGAUAAUGACAGUGCUAUUGAUGACCCUUGCGUUGCCCGGGCUGUGAAUGAGGGUAUCGUCCUGGACGCUGAUGCUCGAGCAGUGAAGUCGCAGCCUUUGUUGGUGACCUGCUCGAAGAUAAAUGCGGCGCUGUCUUUGGUGAGUGUGAGCAUAAGUCGUAUUUGUCUUGUUUAUACUUUGACAUUUGGUCUAAAUUCUGUUGUUGGUUGCAGCUCAAUGCCAGCUUCCAGGAGGUGCGUUUGGUUGCUGAGAUUGGUGCUCAAGCUAAAAUUGAGUUGAAGGCGCUCAACGAGAAGCUCGAGCAGACGAAGAACAUUGCUGUCGUUGCUGAGUGCAAGGUUAAGGACAGGGAUGCCCAGGUUGCUUCGCUGAAGGAGACGGUGGAGCAAUUAAAGGAACGUAAUGCUGCUUCUCAAUCUUCUGCUGAGUAUUGGCAGAGGGUAUGUCAGGAGAAUGAAGCGGCGUGGAAGACCUACUGCGACCAACUGGUGAAAGCUAUGACGGGGUCGCCCGAAGGAGAGGAGACGUGAGGUGGUGUUGAGGGUACCUUGGCGCCAGCUCAGGAUGCCUCGAUGGGCCCUAGUGACCAGGUCGCUGGAGUCCUUGUUGAAGUUGAUGCUUCAGGCGAUCAGUCUACGCAGCAGUAAGCUGGCCUUUGUGUCCCUUUUCUUGUAUUGGGUAACCUUGUGCAAAGCUUGCUUCUUGCACUCCUUGUUCUUGCAGUAUGUCUUCUUGUACUCCUUGUACUUGGCACAGCUUCCAGAGCGCAUUCUUGAGAGCCCCCUUGUAAUUUUGAGAGCUUGAGUGGAUAAUUCUUUGUCUUUUGUAUUUUACCAUUGGUAGUCAGUUUUUACUUUAACGAGCUUGAAGUUCUUCUGAGCAGCUAGUUUCCAGGGAGUCCUGGUAGCUCGUUCAGAAGGCAGGUAGACGAGAUGAAUGGCUGCAAGCAGGACGUACUGAAACAGUUCCUCUUGUAUGCCGUAACUCUAUUUUCCUUGUACCUGUAAUUGUUAGAACCUUAUCAAGUAAAAAGUUAAUUCAACGAUUUACCUUGCAUUGUUGUUCAUGUCGUUUUGUCUGCUUGAAUGGGAUUUGCAAACAAUAAAUAACAUUUGCUCGACCUGCUGGGGUUUGAGGUCGCAUACUAUAUAGUUGUGCUUGGGUCGUGGGAAGAGAAUGACCAAUGCACCAAGUUAAGUUGCUAGUGAUUUAACUUAACAAACUUUUAAAUUAUCAAAGGGACUAGAGUUUUGAUAAUUUGUAGGUCGAGGGAUUGGACCUUUAGUAGCCAUUCAUGUUUGAGCAGAGAUGAAGGCAAAAGUGAAUUUAUACAUUGAAAUGCAAUGAAUGGAUGCUUACAUUUCAUUGAUAAAAUUUCUUUAAGUGAAAAACAUUCCAUGGGUUCUUAACGAUCUCCCCUUCUGGUGUUUGAAGACGUACGAGGAGUUGUUCUAUAGGCCCACAGGAUGUUUUCCAAUUGCUGUGGCCAUUGAUCAUGCUGGUCUUCGAGCUUCUUCUUCAAAUUGUUUAGAAUCUGUCGAUUUGCAGCUUCGACCUGGCCGUUGGCUUGCGGGUAUCUAGGAGUUGACCUUGAAUGCUCGAUUUUCCACAGUUCGUAGAAUUUUUUUAUAUUCUUGCCAACGAACUGAGUGCCAUUAUCUGUGACUACUCGUUUUGGUAGUUCAAACCUUGUGAUGAUGUUUUCCCACAUGAAUCUUUGGACAUCUGCUUGUGUUACGUUGGUUAGUGCAACAACUUCUACCCAUUUAGUGAAAUAGUCGACGGCCACUAGAACGAACCUCUUCUCAGACUUCUUUUCUUUGAUUAGGGGCCCCAUGAUAUCGAGCCCCCACAUGUGGAAUGGCCAUGGUGCAGUGAUGUUAAUGAGAUCAUUCGGAUGCUGGUGUUGCCUAUCAGCAAAUCGCUGGCAUUCUUUGCACUUCAAAACAAAUUUCUUUGCAUCUUCCUUCAUUCUUGGCCAGAAGUAUCCCUGAGAGAUUGCUUUAUGGGCUAAGGUACGACCACCGGAAUGGUUUCCACAUUCACCUUCAUGGAUUUCUUGAAAUAUCAUCUGGCCUUGCUUUGGAAUCAGGCAUCGUAAUAACAAUCCAAUUGCAGAUUUUCUGAAAAGUUUGCCCUCAUGGAUUUUGUACAUCGUGACUUUAUGCAGCAAUCGACUGGCUUCCUUUUUGUCGGAUGGCAGGACACCAGUUUGAAGGUAAACCAUGAAAGGCUCCAUCCAGGUCCCCUGGAUGUCUGCUGGAGUUGUUUCUAGUAGGUCGGAGAUUUGAUGAACAUCCUCUUCCUUGAAGAGAUAUGCGGGCUGUGAGUUGAUUGUUAUAGUUAGGGCCCGCGGUCUGUCUGACUCGAUCUUAGAUGCUAGAAAUGCCAAUGAAUCAGCAUGUCUGUUGUCGUCUCUAGGUAUGUGCUCAAUUGUGAAAUAGUUGAGCUUGCUGAUGAGCUCCUUUGCUUUGCUUGCAUACCUGAUUAGGUUGACCCCAUUGAUCUGGUAGUUGUUAGUGAUCUGAUUGACUACCAGUUGGGAAUCGCAGGCCCUUCAUCACUUGACGAGCUCUACCUGAAGGUAGAUCGUUAUAUAAAGCUUGAAGAAGCCCUCACUGGGAGGGAGAAGAACCACGUAGUCAGCAACAUUGAGUCUGGCUCAACCAAGCGACCUCGAUCAGACGGAAAGAGGUUCAAAGCAAAGUCGCUGCCUACCGAGCAGCGAGAGUAUCACCGGUUUACGCGACCAGCCGGUUAUAUCUAUGAGAGGAUCAAGCACAACCAUUGGUGCAAGAUUCCUGCCUUCACACAGUUGGAGGAUACAUCCGGUCGCCCGUACUGCAAAGUCCAUAAAGUACGGUGCCAUCAGACUGAUGACUGUCGCGUUCUGAAACGCGCACUGCAAACAUGGGCCGAUGAGAAAAGGCUCAACAAUUGGAUCCUCGGAAGGAAUGAGGAAUCCACAGGCAAGCGGGUGAGGAAGGAGUCCAGAACGCCUCCCCGUUCCACAAAAAGAAAUCACAGCAAGGCCAGAACGGCCUCAGCAAGUCCAGCACGCAGCAGAGGGCGUAGCCUCUCCCAGCGUUUAGGUCCAACAGGCGACCUACGCGACCACAUCAACAAGAAGGUCGCAAACAAAGUUGACAGUGACAGCGAGUCGGACAGUCAUGUAGUUUACAUGAUUGACGAAUCUCAACACACACCUGUCUCACGUGACAAGAAGAGACGAGUAGAACAUCUUCACCAUGUCUACUCCAUCACCGGCCGAGCAGCCCGUUUCAACAUCCCUGCCCGCCAAGAGACUGAUAUCACUUUUACUGAGGACGAUCUCAACAAGGUCGUUACUCCUCACAAUGACGCCCUUGUCGUUGAGCUGCGGAUUGCAGAUUAUACUAUCAAGAGGGUAUUCAUCGACCCUGGGGCAUCAUGCAACAUUCUCAUGUACAGAACCUUCAAGGACAUGAGGCUGCCCGACUCAGUGCUCAUCCCAGAUUUUACACCCAUCCUUGGCUUCAAUAGUUCAAGGGAAGACCCUAAGGGUGAAAUUCUUUUGCCCGUCACUGUAGGCAGAAGGGAAGACAAGGUCGUUGUAACCAGCAAGUUCAGCGUCCUCAAUAUCGCAAGCAAGUACAAUGCGAUUCUGGGUCGAAAGUGGAUCCAUGCUAUGAGAGGUGUGCCGUCAACUUAUCAUCAAGUAUUCCGCUAUCCUGGCCCUUAUGGGAUAAUGGAACUUCGCGGCAAUCAGAACACCGCACAGGAAUGCCACGGCAUUAUUGAAGCUGUUCCAUCGUCAAAGCCAUCCACCUCUGGAAGCAAGGAUGCUGACAACAAAGGAAAGAGCCCGAUCACAAUAGAGGCUCAGGAGGGCAACAACAAGUCAAAGAGCCCAUCCAAGGAAAAGGCUGAACCUGCUAAAUAGCAAUUACAGAAGGAGCAAGCGAGCUCCCCCAAGCUUAGUCUCGGAAGCACCGAUCCAGGCGUGCGUGUGAACAUUGGGUCAGAUGAGGACCCAAGAUAUGUCUAUGUAGGUUCAGAAUUGGAAGAAGAUAAGUUCGUCAAUUUUGUAAAUUUUCUUUCAAAUAAUAAAGAUGUUUUUGCUUGGUCGUAUAUCGAUAUGCCCGGAAUAGAUCCAUCAAUUGCAUGCCAUAAGCUACGGGUCAAUCCCAAUUAUCGACCUGUCAAGCAGAAACCAAGGAGACUCGCUCCCAAAUUCCAUGAAGCUGUCAAUGAAGAGAUCAAUAGACUCAAACAGGUCGGCUUCAUCAGAGAAGUCGAUACUCCAGACUGGCUAGCAAACAUAGUACCAGUCUUAAAGAAGAAUGGAAAAACAAGAGUUUGCAUCGACUUUACAAGUUUGAACAAAGCUUGUCCUAAAGAUUCAUUCCCACUGCCACGAAUCGAUAGGCUAGUCGAUCAGACAUGCGGUUUUGAGCUACUGUCAUUCAUGGACGCAUACUCAGGGUAUAACCAGAUCCCAAUGUACGAGCCUGACCAAGAGAAGACCUCUUUCACAACAGAGCAGGGUAUUUUCUGCUACAAGGUUAUGCCAUUCGGGUUAAGGAAUGCAGGUGCGACCUAUCAAAGACUGGUCACCAGAAUGUUCGACGACCUCCUAGGUCGAACAAUGGAAGUCUACGUUGACGACAUGCUAGUAAAGAGUGACAAAAAACGAGAUCAUUUGUACAAUCUCGACCAGGCGUUUCAAAGGUUAAGACAGUACAGAAUGCGUCUUAAUCCAGAAAAGUGUUUAUUCGGGGUUGCGUCAGGAAAAUUCCUUGGCUACCUAGUCACCAGACGAGGCAUUGAAGCAAAUCCCGAUCAGAUCAGAGCCCUGAUCGACAUGCCAAGCCCAAAAACAAAGAAACAAAUCCAGAAACUCAACGGCAUGGUGUCAGCUCUGAACAGAUUCAUCUCCAGAGCAUCAGAUAAGUGCAGACCAAUGCUUCAUAUCCUAAAGAAGGGGGCUACAUAUGAGUGGACAGAAGAAUGUGAGAAAGCCUUCAACGAUCUCAAGGCAUAUUUGUCUACUCCACCAGUUCUCACAAGGCCCAACGAUGGAGAUGUACUUGGCGUUUACCUUGCAACAUCAGAUUUUGCGAUCAGUGCAGUUCUUUUUAAAGAAGAAAAUCAGGUCGAACGACCUAUCUAUUUCACAAGCAAAGUCUUACAGCAGGCCGAAAUAAGGUACACACCUCUAGAGAAGUUAGCAUUUGCUUUACUUUACGCUGCAUGCAAGUUCAAACCUUAUUUCCAAGCCCACACAGUAAAAGUAAUCACCGAUCAGCCAUUACGCCACAUACUAGAAAAGAAAAACAAAACAGGUCGUAUGGCUCGAUGGGCAGCAGAACUGGGUGAUUACACAUUUGAGUUCGUAUCACGGCAGGCCGUCAAGGGCCAGGUCGUCGCAGACUUCUUAGUAGACUAUCCAGCAGAGGAUGUCAAUUGGGAACCAGAACCUGAAACAAGGCAAAUCCAAGACAAUCCUCCAGACACAUGGCAGCUGUAUGUAGAUGGUUCCCACAAUUCCAAUGGAAGUGGUAUAGGUGUUGUGUUAAUCUCUCCUGAGGGUUCACAGCUCGAGAGAUCAGCUCGUCUAGACUUCUCGACCUCCAACAACGAGGCCGAGUAUGAAGCACUCAUCCAGGGCCUACAGAUGGUCGUCGAGCUACAAGCAAUUCGUCUCAAGGUGUACAGCGAUUCCCAACUGGUAGUCAAUCAGAUCACUAACAACUACCAGAUCAAUGGGGUCAACCUAAUCAGGUUUGCAAGCAAAGCAAAGGAGCUCAUCAGCAAGCUCAACUAUUUCACAAUUGAGCACAUACCUAGAGACGACAACAGACAUGCUGAUUCAUUGGCAUUUCUAGCAUCUAAGAUCGAGUCAGACAGACUGCGGGCCCUAACUAUAGCAAUCAACUCACAGCCCAUAUCUCUUCAAGGAAGAGGAUGUUCAUCAAAUCUCCGACCUACUAGAAACAACUCCAGCAGACAUCCAGGGGACCUGGAUGGAGCCUUUCAUGGUUUACCUUCAAACUGGUGUCCUGCCAUCCGACAAAAAGGAAGCCAGUCGAUUGCUGCAUAAAGUCACGAUGUACAAAAUCCAUGAGGGCAAACUUUUCAGAAAAUCUGCAACUGGAUUGUUAUUACGAUGCCUGAUUCCAAAGCAAGGCCAGAUGAUAUUUCAAGAAAUCCAUGAAGGUGAAUGUGGAAACCAUUCCGGUGGUCGUACCUUAGCCCAUAAAGCAAUCUCUCAGGGAUACUUCUGGCCAAGAAUGAAGGAAGAUGCAAAGAAAUUUGUUUUGAAGUGCAAAGAAUGCCAGCGAUUUGCUGAUAGGCAACACCAGCAUCCGAAUGAUCUCAUUAACAUCACUGCACCAUGGCCAUUCCACAUGUGGGGGCUCGAUAUCAUGGGGCCCCUAAUCAAAGAAAAGAAGUCUGAGAAGAGGUUCGUUCUAGUGGCCGUCGACUAUUUCACUAAAUGGGUAGAAGUUGUUGCACUAACCAACGUAACACAAGCAGAUGUCCAAAGAUUCAUGUGGGAAAACAUCAUCACAAGGUUUGGACUACCAAAACGAGUAGUCACAGAUAAUGGCACUCAGUUCGUUGGCAAGAAUAUAAAAAAAUUCUACAAGCUGUGGAAAAUCGAGCAUUCACGGUCAACUCCUAGAUACCCGCAAGCCAACGGCCAGGUCGAAGCUGCAAAUCGACAGAUUCUAAACAAUUUGAAGAAGAAGCUCGAAGACCAGCAUGAUCAAUGGCCACAGCAAUUGGAAAACAUCCUGUGGGCCUAUAGAACAACUCCUCGUACGUCCACUGGGAUGUCACCUUUCAGUCUAUGCUACGGAGUUGAGGCAGUUAUUCCCACCGAGCUAACAUUUGGAACGACCAAAUCACUUCUGGUCGACACUGAGCUCAACAAUCAAGCCUGGUCGUUCGGAGUCGACCUCCUCGAAGAACGAUGUAACCACGCCGCUAUAAAGCUCGAGCAAUACCAACAGAGACUCAAGCGAGCUUAUAACAAAGGCGUGCGACCAAGAACUUUCCAGCCAGGGGAACUAGUCCUAAGGAAAAUGUUCCACAACAAAAGAAAGGACAUGAUUGGCAAACUGAACGCCAAUUGGGAAGGUCCUUACAUUAUCACAAAGGUCCAGAGCAACGGUUCUUAUCGUCUUCAAACACCAGAAGGGGAGAUCGUUAAGAACCCAUGGAAUGCUUUUCACUUAAAGAAAUUUUAUCAAUGAAAUGUAAGCAUCCAUUCAUUGCAUUUCAAUGUAUAAAUUCACUUUUGCCUUCAUCUCUGCUCAAACAUGAAUGGCUACUAAAGGUCCAAUCCCUCGACCUACAAAUUAUCAAAACUCUAGUCCCUUUGAUAAUUUAAAAGUUUGUUAAGUUAAAUCACUAGCAACUUAACUUGGUGCAUUGGUCAUUCUCUUCCCACGACCCAAGCACAACUAUAUAGUAUGCGACCUCAAACCCCAGCAGGUCGAGCAAAUGUUAUUUAUUGUUUGCAAAUCCCAUUCAAGCAGACAAAACGACAUGAACAACAAUGCAAGGUAAAUCGUUGAAUUAACUUUUUACUUGAUAAGGUUCUAACAAUUACAGGUACAAGGAAAAUAGAGUUACGGCAUACAAGAGGAACUGUUUCAGUACGUCCUGCUUGCAGCCAUUCAUCUCGUCUACCUGCCUUCUGAACGAGCUACCAGGACUCCCUGGAAACUAGCUGCUCAGAAGAACUUCAAGAUCGUUAAAGUAAAAACUGACUACCAAUGGUAAAAUACAAAAGACAAAGAAUUAUCCACUCAAGCUCUCAAAAUUACAAGGGGGCUCUCAAGAAUGCGCUCUGGAAGCUGUGCCAAGUACAAGGAGUACAAGAAGACAUACUGCAAGAACAAGGAGUGCAAGAAGCAAGCUUUGCACAAGGUUACCCAAUACAAGAAAAGGGACACAAAGGCCAGCUUACUGCUGCGUAGACUGAUCGCCUGAAGCAUCAACUUCAACAAGGACUCCAGCGACCUGGUCACUAGGGCCCAUCGAGGCGUCCUGAGCUGGCGCCAAGGUACCCUCAAUGUCCGUCGGUUCGGUCGGCAUUUACUCGGUUUUCGGUCGAAACUUGGAAAUGGACGAAACUUACUUGUUUUGGAAUCUAUACAUUCUAAGGGUAUUUACUCCUACAAUGGAGUUGGGUAAGGAUAAUGGGCUCAAGAAAAAAGGAUAAGUAACAAAAAAGGCUCAGAAUGGUCAACCUAAGGGAUAAUGUAUCAUUAGGGUAGGCUAAGGUAAACAAGGUUUAUCUAAAUGUCUUCGUAUCAUCUCUAAGUACUGAUAUGGUGAUCAUAUCUUGAAUAAGCUACAAGUCCCAAGUUUAUAUUACACCCACUUGAUGUCAUCUCAAGGGUAACUAUAAAAAUGAAUAUGAGACUAAAAACAGACAAAACUGAGAGGUUGAGUCUUUUGACUUCAGAUGUACGUAAUAACUCUCCAAGAAAAAGACGGGGCUCAAAAGCUCACUAGGUUAAGUCUCCACACUUAUUCCUCAAGUUUCUCAAGGUGUAGUUGUAUUUGCACAUGUAAUCUGUAAUAAAUGCAGAUGAAUGCCAUGCUCAUGCUCAUGCAAAUGUAGUAUAAAACUCAACUACUUGGUGAAGCAAUAAAUGUCCUUAAACUUGAAAAGAAGAGAAUUCGACCAUUAUAUUCAUCAUUGAUGGUGUACUUAUCAUAUUUUUGGAAAAUUCUUUGUAACAAAGAUUUUUGUUUAUUUUUCAAAAAAAUUGAAUUUUUACACAAGUAUGGAUAAUGAAGUUUGAAAAUCAUUUGCAAAAAGGAUUGUAAUACUUCCCCACCCCCAAACAAAAAGAUUGCCUUGUCCUCAAGGCUCAUACUAAGCAUAGGAGAGAGAAUAAGAAGGAUAUUACCAUGAAUGCACUAAAAAUUCAAACCGCUUUAUAAAUUCCUGUCAAACAAAAUUAUCUCCACAUACAAAGAGAUUACAAGGAAUUUCAUACUAAGACACAACUGAAUUAAAAUGUACUGAAAUAAAGGACUCAUUCAACAGAGAGGGAAGUCCUAUUUUAAAACAAUGCAUUUUGUAACCGUAAUAAGCAUCAACCAGUCAAAUGGCAAAGAGAGUGGGUGGGCCGGUUGCGCCCACCCCUAAACAAAACUGAGCACAGAUGGUAAAACAAGCGGUUUAACAGUCAAAAUGCAACUAAACCCGACAAUAAAACGAGAAGCAAUAAAGCACAAUCGGGCUUAGAAGAUAAACAGGGUUGCCUUCCAGGAGCGCUAAGUUUAACGUCUUCAGCCAGAAAGGAUGACAAACAUGAUUCACUCCCUAGAUAAACGUUACUCUAAACAAAGAUACAUGAGUGAUAAAACGCUAGAGUGGAAUGCGCGAGAUCUUGAUGUCUAAGAUACAACAAAGAGUCUUUUAAAGUUAGAUACUCGAGACUUAAAGGAAGAUGGGAAAUGACUUCCCCACCCCCAAACAGAGCGAAAAAUAGGUCUGUUUGGUGGUGACGCUCAAGAGAAAAGCGUGUACUGGAUCAAUUAUACUCAGCCAGUAAGAGUUUGUGGACUAACGGUCCCGACACUUUCAACCACACCUCUCAAAAGAGACAACAGAAUAGAGUAAGAGAGGGUCCGGAUACCAGCAGGUCAAAGGUCAGUCUAAAUAAGUUUCAGGAGGUCUUAACUCGUGGAAAUGCUUAAGACAUCGACAUUGAUUUUAAAUUCAGAACCGUCUGCAGGAUUAACACAUGUAAUAGCACCAUAAGGAGCUACUGUAGACACAACAAAGGGGCCUGACCAACGAGACAUAAGUUUGCCAGAAAAUAAAUGCAAACGAGGAUUAUAAAGCAAAACUUUGUCUCCAAUUUAAAAAUAAAGCUGAUUUUUUUUGUUUGGUAGUAAGAGAUGAAGAGAUGAUAACUGGAUGACUACCGUUUGAAUCUAAUUGGGCACAUUUCAGCUCGGGAGGAAGAGGAUCAGGAGAUGGAGGGAUGGUCUCGACUUGGAACUUAUAAUCAAUGCAACAAACCGAAUCAAGAGCCUCAGGGUCUUUGGGGUCAAAGAUAGGCACAAAAUUAAAAUGAGCAUUGGUUUGGGCAAUAGAUUGGUCGAUGUCGAAGUCAACAUUAUGCAUGGUAGGGCAAUUAACAACCAGAUCUUUAGGGUAACAACUAGGUACCAUCUCAUAGGGUAGAGAAUCGAGAAGGCACACCUCUUUAGAUAAAGAAAGAUCAUGGGGUUGUUGGCCAAGAUUAAAGAUAUUAACUUCAACGGUCCUAGAUCCAAAAGUGAGAACCAUAGAACCAUUUCGGCAGUUUAUGAGAGCAUUAGAGGUGGCCAAAAAUGGACGGCCAAGGAUGAUGGGAACCGAGUUAUCGACAGUAGGUUCAGUAUCCAACACCACAAAGUCAACAGGAUAGUAAAAGUCGGACACUUUGACUAAUAGAUUCUCAACUAUUCCUCUAGGUACUUUCAAUGAUCUGUCGGCCAGUUGUAAAGACAUGUUCGUGGGUUUCAUGUAUGUUAGACCCAGGCUGAGGUACAAGGAGUAAGGCAAGAGAUUAACACUCGCUCCCAGGUCUAACAAAGCUCUACCUAUGAACUUAUCACCAAGCUUGCAGGGUAUGGUCGGUUUUCCAGGGUCUUUAUAUUUUACCACACCGUUGUGUUGGACAAGUGCAGAGAAUUCUUCCGCCACAAACGCGUUUUUAGGCACAUUUGUUUUCCUCUUAGCGGUACACAAGUCCUUCAAAACCUUAACAACAUAGGAAGGUAUCUUUUUAAUAGCCGUGAGGAAAGGUAUAUUAAUAUUUAUAUGUUUAAACACAUCAAUUACCUCCUCUGCUUGUACUUCCUGUAGGGACCUAGUAAGUGUCUGGGGGUAAGGCACGGGUGGGUCAUAAGGCAGUGGAGAGUCCACAAUCUUACGGGUAUGUAUCCUUGGCUUAGAGGUCUGCCUCAUUAGCCGGACCUUUAGGUGGGGCAACAGGUAUAGAGGUAACCGGUGUCACAAUGUUAGGACUUGGUUUAUAAUGAAUCUGAUUAUCAACCUGUUUACCUGACCUAAGUGUGGAGACCGAGUUAACUUCAGCAAGCGGUGCAGACGGAGAUGGAGUUUCCGUUACCAAGACAGGUCCUUUUACCCAUUGUUUUUGGAACAUGAGGAUGAUUGUUUAUGUGGUUACAAGAAGAAUGGAGAAAAACAAAUAAAUCUCCCAACUAGUGAGAUAAACCAAAUAUUGAAAAUCAAAAAGUUUGAAAAAAUUCCAGAAAAAGCCAGAAUCUUCCCAAAACCAUUUCAAAUCCAAAAAGAAAAGGAAGAUUCCAAAAUAUUGGCCAGAACUUCAUUGAAAUUUUCCCAAAGAAGAUGAGAAACACUUCUUCCCAAAAGAAAAAUUCCCAAAAUAUUUCACAAAAGCCUUUUUUCCAUUUCUAGCCCUGUCCUAAGCUAAGUUACAACCUAUUACUGUCUUUUGUAGAUUUAAGCUGAUAUAGUAGGAUGUGGCGAGUAAGUGAGAAGGUGCUGAGGUGAAAAACCCGACAUCUCAAGCAAUUCUAAUUUUUCCAUUUUUUUAGACUAAGUUCAUUCCAUUACAUCAGUCUUCUUCGAUAUAUGUGAGAUGAUUGUCCAUCUUCUUUCCUCACAUAGAGGUAAAAUGAUAAACACCAUCUCUGAGUGACUUUUAUUUCUGAGUGUAUGUAUGUCUGUGAGGCAGAAGUCAAAGCGACCUUUCCAAAGGUGACUUAAGACCCGUGGUAGUAUGGGUACAUGUCUGUCUUCAAUGCAUUUGAGACCGUUAUGCUUGGUUUAUAUUUCAUAUUUUAUUCAUGCAUUUAUAGUAUGUUAUCUCAUAUGAACUGUUUUGCAAUACUUAUCCUUAUCCUUGAUAUGACCAUUUCUGAGGUAAAUGGUAGAAAUUCAUAUUCUUUGGAUUAAUCAUUGUAGUAAGUUUGUGGGUAUCUUCUCUGGAAAACCCUCAGGAGACUAUAACUCCUCCACUUGGGAAAUCCUUGUGGUUGAAAUCCUUGAUGCAUAUGGUUAAUACAAUCACCUUAGUUUUACUUCUCUUUUGAGUCCUUAAUUCUUUUCUUCUCACAUUUGCUUGAGGACAAGCAAAGUGUUGUUUGGGGGUAUUUGAUAAUUCCUCAAAAGUGUAUAUUUAUCCCCCGAAUAACACCUUGUUUGUCUAGCACUUAGCUUAUAUUAUUGUGUUAUAUUUAUUGAUUAGUGCUUUCUUGUCUAUUGUGUAGGUUUUAUGAGCCGAAAUGCGAAUAUUGUGUUAAAGCCCGCAAAAAGUCAAGAAAACCAAGCAAAAAUGUGUUAUUUGCACAAAAGAAGGAGAAUUGAUAUUUGCACCCACAGAUCUGCUGAGGGCACCCCACGGUUAGACCAGUUGACUUGACUUUAUGUCAAACUGGGGCGGUCCAAAUCUCAACCCAAACCGGAUUCUAUUGGAGCCCACAAGUCAGAAUUUCUAUUUAGGGCUUUAUUUAAAGUCCAAACUUAAUAAGGCUCUACAAGAAGAUCUAGAAGUCUAAUUUGGGCCCAUGAGCUAUCAACCUGAAGGUCUUGAUCCAAGCUAUAACUUAAGCCCAAGAUAAUUAGGUUUUUCUGAAGACCUAAUACCUCUAUAAGAGAAGUAGUAGCUAAGGUUUAGGUAGCUUUUUAUGAAUGGAAGAUUGAGGAGACAAGUUCAUCUUCUUCUUCUUCCUUUGUAUCAAACUCAAUUCAUAUCAAUCAAAUCAAAUCAUUUUUCUUUAUGAUAUUUUGUUAUUUAAUUAUUUAUUCCAUGGUGUCAUCAUCAAGGAUGAGUAGCUAAAUCUCCUUAGGGGGAUGGUUGAAGCACUCUAUAUAAUGCGAAAGCACCAUGUUUGUUCUUAAUGUUCAUUGUGAUUCAAAGUACUUAAUGAUUAUUUACUUCUAUCUGCAGUAUGAGGUAAGUAUGAUUAUUUGCAUGUUAUUGUUAUCCAUGUUGUUAAAACACUAUUGUUAGGCUUUCGGGAAACCUAGCUUUAAUGGUUUUAUUUAUAUUGAUUGAAGAUGUGUAGUAAAAUAGCUGAGAGGUGAUUAUUACAUAUCUGCAGUUGAUAUCUUUUAUUGGAACCCUUUUGUAAUUAAGUCAAAUAGCUUAGAGGUGAUGAUUUAGUUAUGAAUAAAUAUGUUGAGUUAAUUAAAUUGAAUAGCUGAGAGGUGACGGUUUGAUUAAUGAGACAUAUUCAAUAGCAUGCAUAAGAGAAUCCCGUUUUAAUUGAGUGAGAUAAAUGAGAGGUGACUACUUGAUUAUUAUAGGUAUUAAUGAUUAAUUGGAAUAGCUGAGAGGUGACUAAUUAAUUGUUAUAGAUUGAACAUGAAGGAACAACAUGUUAUGUUUGUAUGAUUUAGUUUGUGGAUACCAAUUCUUUCCUCUUUGUCAUCAUAAAUCUUCUUUUCAUCUCUACCAUAUUCUUAAGUUAGGGUUUAUUUAAUUAUUUCUUGUAGGAAGUUAGAAUCAAUCUCAAUUCUUAUUAUUGAUUCUCUUAGUGUUUCUUAACAAUUGUUUUCUAUUGUGUUUGAGUUAAGAUCUCCCCCUCUGAGGUGGGUACGACCUUUGCUUGUUACUUGUCUACUUUGAUAACCAAUUUAUACAGGCACAAGAAGAAACUUCAAUAAAAAUAUAAUCUUUUGAUUAGAGGUUACACAAAUAGCCUCUAUCAAUAUGUUCCACUGCUGGCUAUUAGUAGCAAUCUUUUCAAGGAAAGCCAGAGCCUUGGUGGUGGAAUAAUCAAGGAAAUAUCCACCGCUCAUGCUCUCAACCGUGUUUCUAGUUAGAGUAUUAAGGCCUCUAUAUAGAAUCCUAACUUUUUUAGUGUCAUCGACUUUGCGGUGUGGACACCGAAGAAAUAGGUCUUGAAACCUUUCCCAUGCAACAAAGAAUACCUCGCCCUCUUUCUGCUGGAAACUUCUUAUGGCAUCAACUAUGUCAUUAGUUCUGGUAAUAGGAAAGAAUUUGGUCAAAAUCAUUUUACUUAGUUGAGCCCAGGUGUCAAUAGAAUUAGAAGGAAGGACAUGUAACCAGUGAGAUGCUCUAUCCUCAAGAGAAAAGGGAAAAUCUCAAGUUAACUUCCUCCUCAAACAAAUGUUUCACCUUGAAUGUAUUAAGAACAGUCAGAAACUUAUUGAGGUGCUGAUAUGGAUCUUCCCGUGGAAGUCCAUGGAACUUAGGCAGUAUCCCCACAAUUUGUGGGCGAAUGCCAUAGCUAUCUGCAGUUGUCUCGGGUAAGACUAUGCAUGUAGGUGGCCCAGUGGCCAAAGGUUAAAAGUAAUCCCGAAGGGUAGCUUCUUGACCCAUAAGUGCAGGAGUUACUUCAGAAGGUGAAGUUCAGUCGUUGAACUCUUCUUCAGAAGGUAUGGAGGUUGAGUCGUUAAACUCUUCCUCGGGAGGAGUAGUGAGGUCCGUGAUUGUGCUCUUUGUGUAGAUUGGAAUAGGUUUGGACAAGAUUUUACCUGAUCUAAGAUGCAUGCAACAUGCGCAUUACAAAUGCCACAGAAGUCCUAACCAUUCAAAAGCAUCUAACAAGGGACUCAAAAACUGACUCACUUUUGUGUUCACCCAAGUCAAUGAGUUCUUUCCAAGCUUCCCUUGUGAAUUCUCCCUAUAUUUCGAGAGUCAAUAGCAGCGAAUAACAGGGGUGGGAGCUUUUCCAUGAGUAAGCAACGUUUCUUAAUUAAUUAAAUAACCACAGUGAUUCUACAGACGUAAUCUAUAGGGGUUCCAGACCCAAUUCCUAACUUGUGCUCCAAUCAAAGAAUGGUUCACGCAGUACUAGUUGAAAUAUCUGCUCAAUGUCUCAAAUGAACAUCGUGAUAACAUGGCUUUAGUUGAUUCAGUUUUAAGGCUUAGGAUAUUGCAAUCAAUUGAUAUUAGGUUUCACUUUUAAGUCAGGUCCGCCUUGCAAUCCCGGUUUAACAAGUAAAAACAGAAUUAAAAUCAAUCAACAAUCAAGGUCAUGCUAAUUAAUACAGAAACUCCUCUUGCAGGGGAUUCGAGGAGGGUUAGGAGAAUGCUUACCUCCCACUUUGUGCUAAAUAGUAAAAAAAUGCCAAACAAGCGCACAAAAGUGGGGAGAAGACGAGUUGAAGUCGACUAAGGGGAAACUGCUCCUUGGGUUUCAAUCGUCCUUAGGAGUCGUUCCUUAGUAAACUCAAGGCUAGCUCCACAACCUUGUUCUACUAUCCGCCGUGAGCACACAAAAAAUAAAUCCUAUCAACACCUACUUUAAAUAUUACAACCGCGACCCCUUCGUGGAUCGAAUAAUUAAAUAUCUUACAAGUCUCUAAAAAUGCUGGAAAAAAUUAAACUACUUAGUUCACCUCACAAUCACUCAACAAGAAAAAAAAAUUCUUAAAAAAGUGCUCUGGAACAUUCUGGAAAAUUCACGCAAAACGAGACAAUUCCCUGCCUGGAACUCAACUCAGGAGCGGGUUCAAUUUGAACCAGUAAUUUUUCAGGAAAAAUCCUAAAUGCGCGAUCUUCUUAAAAAGUCGAUUUUGACUCCGUUGUUCGAGCUUUUUUCAAACCGUCUUUGCUGCAAGAUCAAUAAGAGGACUAAGUAACAAGACACCUAAAAACAAUAAAUAAAAGAAAUACAAAUAGAAGGGUGGGAGGGAUAAAAGUGGGAUGAUAUCCCGAAACUACUAUUCUUGCUUGUGUUUGAAUGAACUUCGUUCCUUAGAGCGGCAAUGGCGCUAUUUUGAUAGAUGGUAAAUUAACACAACCUAAACAAAAGAUUAUAUUUUUAUGAUUUUCCUUCUUGUGCCUGUAUAAAUUGGUUAUCAAAGUAGACAAGUAACAAGCAAGGGUCGUACCCACCUCAGAGGGGGAGAUCUUUGCUCAAACACAAUAGAAAACAAUUGCUAAGAAAUACCAAGGGAAUCAAUAAUAAGAAUUGAGAUUGAUUCUAACUUCCUACAUGCAAUAAUUAAAUUAACCCUAAUUUAUAAGAAGAUGGUAGAGAUGUAAAGAAGAUUAAUGAUGACAAAGGGAGAAGAAUUGGUAUCCACAAACUAAAUCAUACAAACAUAACAUGUUGUUCCUUCAUGUUCAAUCUAUAACAAUCAAUUAGUCACCUCUCAGCUAUUCCAAUUAAUCAUUAAUACCUAUAAUAAUCAAGUAGUCACCUCUCAGCUAUUCCACUCAAUUAAAACGGGAUUCUCUUAUGCAUGCUAUUGAAUAUGUCUUAUUAAUCAAACUGUCACCUCUCAGCAAUUCAAUUUAAUUAACUCAACAUAUUGAUUCAUAACUAAAUCAUCACCUCUUAGCUAUUUGACUUAAUUACAAAAGGGUUCCAAUAAAAGAUAUCAACUGCAGAUAUGUAAUAAUCACCUCUCAGUUAUUUUACUACACAUCUUUAAUCAAUAUAAAUAAAACCAUUAAAGCUAGGUCUCCCUAAACCCUAACAAUAGUAUUUUAACAACAUGGAUAAUAAUAACAUGCAAAUAAUCAUACUUACCUCAUAUCGCGAAUUAGAAGUAAAUAAGCAUUAAGUAUUUUAAAUCAAAAAGAACAAUAAGAACAAACAUGGGGCUUUUGCAUCAUCUAGAGUGCUUCAACCAUCCCCCUAAGGAGAUUUAGCUACUCAUCCUUGAUGAUGACACCAUGGAAGAAAUAAAUAAAUAACAAAACAUCAUAAUGGAAAAGAUAAUGGAAUUGAUAUUUAAUAUUGAGUUUGAUACAAAAGAAAAAGAAGAAGAUGAAUUUUUCUCUUCAAACUUCAAUUCAUAAAAAGCUACCUAGACCUUAGCUACUACUUCUCUUGUAUAGAAAAUACAAAGUAGAAUACUUGCAUGCAAAGACUUCCAAAUUAGGUCAAAUUCGUGGCUGCUGCUGUUGGUCUUCUAGAGGCAUUAGGUCUUCAGCAAAACCUAAUUAUCUUGACCUUAUGUUUUAGCUUGGACCAAGACCUUCAGGUUGAUAGCUCAUGGGCCUAAAUCAGACUUCUGGAUCUCCUUGUAGAGCCUUUUUAAGAUUGGACUUUAAAUAAAGCCCUAAAUAGAAAUUCUGACUUGUGGGCUCCAAUAGGACUCGGUUUGGGCUGAGAUUUGGACCGCCCCACUUUGACAUAAAUUCAAGUCAACAUGACUGACUGUAGGGUGCCCUCAGUAGAUCUGUGGUGCAAAUAUCAAUUCUCCUUCUCUUGCGCAAAUAACACAUUUUUGCUUGUUUUUCUUAACUUUUGGCGUGCUUUAACACAAUAUUCGCAUUUCGGCUCAUAAAACCUACACAAUAGACAAGAAAGCACUAAUCAAUAGAUAUAACACAAUAAUAUAAGCUAAGUGCUAGACAAACAAGAUGUUAUUCGGGAGAUAAAUAUACACUUUUGAGGACUUAUCAAUAAUGCUUAGGACGUUUCAAGGUUUUCAAACCAAGCUUCUGAACCAAAGCUUUUGAAAUCAGAUUUUUUUUUUACUUCCUGGAUCUACAAUAGCGUCCACCAAACUGGUCUUCACCUGUAACUUAAUACAAAAGAGUUGCUCUAUGGGGUCAUAUUCUUCUACCAAUGUAAAAUUCUCUGCCAUUAUGUUGAGCUUGAUGUUAGGCUCCGUCAUCCCUGGUACUUCCUUUGGACCUUGUGCGACUAAAGCUGCAGUCUUUUCUCCUUUUUUUCUCCUUCAACCCUUUUGGUUUGAGAUGUGGAUACUUCUCCCAGCAUUUGUGCGUCGCAUGUCCCGUUGAUUUACAAUGACUACAAAUCAAUGUUUCUUUCCCAUUAGACUCACAUUUUCCCUUCCUUUUAACAUCAUCAUGUUUGCUAAUAUAACCAUUAGAUUUACCACCAGAUUAUUUACAUCUCCUUCUGUAUUGUUCUUCAACUUGCCUUCAAUGGCAAUAGCUUUCACAUUAGCUUCUGGAAUAGAUUGUAUUGUAAACAACUUCAACUCCUUCCGAAUAUACUCACUCAAACCUGCCAUACACUUCAUGUAUGUGGAGUAAUCCUUUAGAUUAAUAUCCAAAACCAUUGUUUGAUUUUGAAAUUCGGUUGUGUACUCUUGGACGAAUUGAUUGUAUCUCUGACGUAAGUUGUACCACUUCUGCCAUCUCUCUUCCAGAAAUCCCACUGGAUAAAAUUGCUUCUUAAGUAACUCCUUGAACUUCCUCCACGACACUGCCCCUUUAUGAUCACGAUACUUGCAAUAACAUUUCCACCAAGUUAAUGCAUGACUCGACAGCUUCAAAGUCGCAAAGAUAAUUUUCUCCUUCGACGAAUAACCAUAAAGAGUAAAAUAUGUCUCUAGACGUUCAAUCCAAUCGUUUAAUUUUUCCACAUCAACACUCCCAUCAUACAUAGGAAUCUCAACUUUGAAAUCAAUUUUCAGAUUUUGAAAAUAAUUGUUACCUCCUUGAUGUGAAGUGUUAAUGUUAUCGACCUCUUCGUCUUUGUCUGUUUCUCCUUCCUCAUCUUCAUCAUCAUUCGAGUCAUCUUGCUUAGAAAACAAACUCUUCUUCUUUUUUUCGGGUUUUUCUUCUCCCCUUCUUUGAUGAUGAAAUCGGUUGGCUUUGACAAAGUAGAUUUCAUUGUCUGCAUCUGGAUCUGAAACAAAGCCAUUGUUUCUUCUGUACUAAGUUUCUGCUGUGGAGUAGGUAUCUCUUCCUCCUCUAAAUUCUUCGGAUCUGUUUUCACCAUCUUAUUUUUUCUUGUCUUCAUAGAAUAUUCUAAAGACUCAAGAACUUUACCUAGCUUUUUGUACUGCGAACGAGUUAAGACCAUAAACCAUAGAACUCUACCAGGGAAUCAAACUUUGCUCUUGAUACCAACUUGAUACAAUUACUAGGCAAAUAUACUCUUGAAUGCGGAAUUAAAUAAUAACAGUAAAUAAGGUGAACAAAACACAAGAUCUCGAAGACAAGUAUCUUCUUUAUUGAAUAUUAUGAAGAUUACAAGAAUCUCUGCCUCACAAUACUCUCUAGACAAGCUAAGCCCAAGUUGCAUCUCUUAUAAUUCUAAACACACUAAACCUUAGUGGUUUCUUUAAACAAGCUAAAAUAAGCUUUAUGGUUUAUGCCAAAACAUUAAUAUUUAUAGGGUUUUGACAACUUGUAGUUAGCCAUGGAAAAAGAUUUUUUUUUUCUCUAAAUUUCUUAUCCUUGUGUAACAAGGAAAACUCUAAUAAAGAUCUUCAUUUGUCCCACAAGGAAAAGGAAACUAAGUUCCUAAAAUACAGAUACACUUGUCUCAGCCGUUGUCAUGUGUUAUUGAAUUAGCAGUAUUUUGGGCCCAAGGACCAGAUAUUAGCUAGUUUCAUAGGGGUUCAGGACAACAUAAACCUUUGUUUAGGUUUUAGGACAAAUUGACGUAAUGACUAAUAUACCCUUAUUCUAUAUAAUGAUAUUUACAAGUUACAACGUGUCCAUAUCUCUCUCUCUCUCUCUCUCUCUCUCUCUCUCUCUCUCUCUCUCUCCUCCCCGCCCUCUCUCUCUCUAUGUCUCCUCUCCAGCUUCCUCUUACGAUCUCUGUUUCAUCUUCUUAAUUAUAAAAAUAAAUAAAAAAUAAAAAAUCUUAAUAAUCGCCAAUAAAUCAAGUGAAUAGGAAGAAACUAAAAAAUAUAUUUUGAUUAAACAUAAUCACAAUUAGAUUAAUAUGUGCAUUUGUCUUCUAAAUGUUUUUUUUUUUUUUUUUUUUUUGGAAAUUCAAAAUGUUCCUUACAAAAUUUCAUUUGUACUUGAUUAAUACAAUAAUCAAUAUAUUUUUAAUAUAUUAAUCAAUAUAAUAUAUUUUUAUUUACUAUAUUAAUUAAUAUAUUAAUUUAAUAACAAAAACCAAAUUAAAAAAUAUAUAAAUAAACUUUUUUAUUGAAUAUAUUAGCAUAUUUACUCAAGUUCACAUCAACUUUUGUGUUUAAGAUUUUUUGUUUAGCUCAUCAAUUAUUAUUCCAACUAAUUAACACACUUACACACUGAUGAACUUUUUUUUUUUGAACUGGUUAAUACAUUAAUAAGUUUUUUUUUAUUGAAGUGAUUAGUAGCUUAAUCAAUUCUUAGUUCAACUGAUUAAACCUUAAUCACUUUUUAUGCCAACUUAUAAACACAUUGAUCUAUUAUUUUGUUCAACACAUUACUCAACUAUUAUUCAAAUUAAUUAACACAUUAAUUAAUUAACUCAUUUUUAAGUUGAUUACCACAUUAAUUAACUCUUAUUCAACCUGAUUAUCACAUUAAUCAACUCAUAUUUCAAUUAUUUAACACAUUAAUCAACUGUUAUAAAAAUUGAUUAAUGUAUUAAUUAACUCUUAUUACAAUUGAUUAACACAUUAAUCAACUCUUUUUUAACUGAUUAACAUAUUAAAUAACUCAUAUUCGAAUUGUUUAACACAUUCAAUUCCUCUUCCAAUUGAUUAACGUAUUAAUCAACUCUUAUUAUAACAUGAUAAAUACAUUAAGCAACUCUUAUUCCAAUUGAUUAAGAUAUUAAUUAACUCAUAUUCAAAUUGCUUAACACAUUAAUCGAUUCCUCUUCUAAAUGAUUAACGUAUUAAACUUUUAUUACAACUGAUUGUAUAUUAAUCGACUAAGAAAUUUAUAUUUCUUUUUCUGUUCAGUUGAUUAGUAUAUUAAUCAACUAAACACUAGUUGAUUAGUACAUUAAUCAACUCAACAAUAGUCGAUUAUAUAAACUCUAACCCUUAAACUUUAAUGCAAUGUAACUAUACCCUACCCCAAUGAACCCAAGUUGGAAUGCGGUCUUAUGCGACUCUAAUGCAAGGUAAAUAUACCAUAACCCUAAACUUCUAACCCCUAAUCAACAAAAGUAAUAUAUAAAGAGCUUAUUGACACCAAUACUACAUAAGUUGAAUAACAUACUAAUCAAGCUUAGUUGUUAAUCAGAAAAUAAUAUAUGCGGUCUUCUAAAGGGAGUAUGUUGAAUAUUUGUUGAUUAAAAUGUUAAUCAACUCCAAUAUCUGUUGAUUAAUAUGUUAAUCAACCCAUGUGACAGUUUGACACCAUUGUUACAGCUUAUACCAACAUAUAUAACAAUGAAAUAUAAAAGUUUCAUAUACAAGUAAUAUGAUGACAGUUUGAGAUUAUUUUGUCUAUGCACAAAUUUAAUUAAUCACUCAUUGGUUUAUUUACAGAUAGGAUGAGCGACACGGUCUAACGGAAUAGCACGAUCGGAAAAUCAAUAAGCAACUCCACCACCAAAUCCAUCAUGUAGUACACUCUCCUUCAGCCAAUAACCAUCGGUUCUAUUUUUAUUUUUAUUUGAUGAAAUCAUCGGUUCUAUUGGAAUCACCACUCAUCAGAAAAUUUUACUAGAGAAUAACAAGAAAAGGCAAUAGAGUACGUAGAACCAUGGACCAUGAAAUUGAUUUUUUUUUUUUUUUUUCGGCUAAAGGUAUAAAUUUUAUACAUUAGAUUAACCACAAUUACAUUCCUGAACCGCAUACACAAGGUACCGUUAGGUCUAGUCCCAUGGAGAGAUCCCUCCAUUUUUACAUUUUCACAAACAUACAAACCCAAAACACCCCGCAUGGACAGUACAUACAAGCUAAGAAACACAAUAGUAUAAACUGAUCACACUGAGUCCCUGCUUUGCGUAUCGAAUCCUGUUCUUUUCCACAUUGGUUGCACUCUAGAUGAUCUUGCCAACCAAUUAUUGCCUUUAUUCUAACGACAUACCCAUCACAUGAAAACUUUGCAUCGCUGAAAAUUGCAUCAUUGUGCAUACACCAUAGUACUUAUACAGUGGCAUAAGGAAGGAUGGCCCAUAUGCACUUACUGAGUCCCCUUAGAUUCAAUUUAAGCCAAGUGCUUAGACGCAUUUCCACACUAUUCAAUGCCUAAAACAUUCCCCAGACCUGAUUAAGGAUCCCAAGCAAUUGUUUCCUACAUAGGCAGAUUUUCCACACUAUUAUUCACUGUCCUUGCACAAAGUGGACAUAUUAGAUGCUAGAGAUGUACUUUACUUCCAAAAUAUGAUGUUACAUUGUUACCUCUUUCACCCGAAAACAACUCAAGAUCUUCCACUCCUUGUGACCAAGCAAUACCAGGUAGGUUGAAUGAUGGAAAAUCCACAUAAACCGCUCAAACUGCAUGAGUACAAUAACGUCUCACGUAUGAAUAGUAAUUAUGUUUUCUUUUUUGUUGACAGUUAGUAGAUAAUCUAAAUCAAUUGCAAUGGGAAAGAAGGCAAUAACAAAAUGACUAUGUCUGUAUAAAUUCUAUACAUUUGAUCAAUAACAUCGAGAAUGAAUCAUUAAAAUGAAAUGACCUCAAUUUCACAUUAAUUAAAAUUUCUUGUCUAGAAAGCGGCUGCAUUUUCCAGUUAUCAAUCCACAAAAAACGAACGACCGAUCUUAUGAUUACAUACACCAUUGUCAUUCAUAGCAUAGAUAUAUGAUUUCAAAUGAUAUGACUCAACCUGUUGCACAUGGAAUAGGGAGAACCAACAAAGAAGUGUCUCAUUGUAUAAAAUGUUUUGAUGAAGAUGGUGAUAGUGAUCCCAAAUUCCCUUUCAUGGUCAUCAUGAAGAAUAAAAGAGAUAACGCCACAAACAUUUCAAAGAUCAGAUUCUUUCUUUCUGCAAUAGUCAUUAUAAUUAGUAUACUUCUAAGUUUUAAUUUCCCCCAGAAUUUCACGUGUGGAUAUUUAACAUUGUAUAAUGAAAUUUACAUCGUAUAUUCUAUAAACGAUUAUAAUGUAAAACAAAUUAUAUGUAUUAUAUAAAAUCAGAAAACACAGAUAAGAACAAUCCAUAAAUAAAGAUGUGCCUCUAUUCAUAAUGCAUUGUGUGAGAGAGAUAUAAGCUUCAAAAUUAUCAUAAAAAAUAUUCCUAACAAUAGUGCAAUGUUGUUGUAGAAAAACUUAGUAGCUAUCCUUUGUAAACAAAACUAUUCUUGAUUUCCAAUAAAGAACUGUAUCUUAAAAGGGGUAAGGUAGAUCAUUUCAAUUGGAAUGCUUAAGAUGACACCAGUUCUAUGGUGUUAAUCACUAUUCUUUAGUCUAUUGAAAUAUUGUAUCUUCCCUUUGUGGUUUUGUGCUUUGAUAUAGUUUCACUUAUCUUUCUACUUCUUCUCGAAUUACUCUUUAUUUACUAGCAUUAAAUCAAUAAAACAACUAAAAAAAUAAUUUUUAUACCAAUUACCAACUUACCAAGCUGUUGCACAAUAAAACAUUGAAUUGUCAAAUCAAACCAAACAAAACACUACAGAAUGCCAACCAUUAAGAUUCAAUCAAUUACAUAAAUCUCAUUGAUUAGGUAUUUUAAAUUUUACCUUACAGCUGAUGUUCCAACCAGUUCCUUUACAAACAAAAAGUCCACUCCCUUAUGAGCGACAGAGCGAGGUCAAAUUUACGUUGGACGAUCAAUUCCAUAAUUUUCAAUUUGAAAGUGGUAAUCACGAAAACAAAAUUUCCCCUUAUUAAUCAGUCUUUUGAAGCGAAAAGUAGAGAUCAACGAAACAUGAGCGAGGAUAUCUAUUGGAAGCAAUACGAGAAGAAAAUCGGGCAGAGAAGAAAACCCAAAUCUAUGUUCGCGGGGGCAGUUAUGGUAUUAUAAGAAUUUUGUGGAGGCAAUGGUACGCGGUUUUGUCCUGGAAACUAAGAGUUUUCUGUAUAAUUGGACUUAACUAACAGUGAACUACUAACCCGUGUCCUUGGGCCAGCCAAACUUAAGCCUAAGACUAAAACCGAAACAAACAUCUCUAACUGGACUUGGGACGAGUUUUAUUAGCAAGCAGCAAAUUGGGCCAAAGGACCAAAUAUAAGGUUUCAUUAUCCAAAAGGACAACACAAACGUUUCAUUGACCAAAAGGACAACAACUGCGAUAUGACGCAUGUACCCUUCAAAAAAUUUAAUAUAUGAGAAACCGAUUUACGGUUACUCUACAGCUGUCCGAAACAGUGGUUACGAAAAUAGAAAAUAAUGGUAGGAUUCUCUCUCCUAACAACGGUGGUAUUCUGUCUGGUAAUCAAAACCCCAAAUUUUUUAAAAAACAUAUCAUCUAUAAUCUCUAAAACCCCAAAUUUCUAGGGUGUCUCUAAAUCUUUUAGGAAAUCUUUUCGGUUUCUCUAAAAUCGCUUCUGUUUCUCUUCGAUUUUUCUAAAUCUCCGGUUUCUCUAAUUACUUUGGUUCACAAAUUCUUUUUCUUGCUGCUUGCUUGUUUUUCUUUUCCGAUACUGUUCUUCAAAUUUGUAUAAUGGCAAGAAGCAAAUCACGUACAAGAACUGGUCCUUGGUACAAAAAGGACAAGCAAUAGGCGGUCAAAUAACUGAAAAUAACAACAACGUUUGCAAUAAUUUUCACUUUUAACAAUGUAUUGCAGAUCAUGACAACCAAGUGAAUUUUCAUUACACCCGAUAACAACCAUGUUUUGCUCCGGUAGCUGAAGCUGAUGAUGACCUGUCCACGUGGCAAUUGUAGAAUUGAACUAUCAAUAAAAAUAAAAACACACACACACACAUAAUUAAUAAUAUGAUUUAGGUCAUAAAAUUGUAUUAUGAUUUAUCAUUGUAUUUGAGAGAAUCAAUUUUGUUAAUAUAUUACUAUAAUUAAAAAUCCCUAAAUUUACAUAAAAAAUUUACAUACUUUAGUCACAAACCCUAAUUUGAUAAUAAUAUAUAAUGCUAUAUUAUUGUCCUUGAUAUAAUACUUUUUAUUUAAUUACGUGUAUUUUUUUUUAAUUUUUUAUUGAUAUAUCAGCUUAUACAAUUACCACGUGGACCGAUCACCGGCUUCCGGUACCGAAAGAAAACAUAGUUGUACCGGAAGAAAACAUAGUUGUUAUCGAGUGUAAUGAAAAUUCACUUCGUUGUUAUGAUUUGCAAUACAAUGUUAAAAGUGAAAAUUGUUGCAAACGUUGUUGUCAUUAUUAGUUAUUUGAAGCACAAGAACAAGCAAGCAGCAAUGAUUACGAAUCUGAAGUAAAUUUCUUGUUUUUUUGUUACUAAGCAAAAACUCAUGAUUUUGAUGUAAAUCUCAUAUCAUUGCUUUUCAAAAUUAGGAUUUUUUGUUGUAAAUCUCAUAUCAUUGAUUUUGAUGUAAAUCAUGAAAUUUCUUGUUUUCAAAAUUAGGAUUUUUUGUUUUAAUAACUUCUCUAGAUUUUUUGUUUUAAUAAAAUAGUUGAGUAAUGUAUUAAUCAAGCCUUAGUUUACAUUAUCAUUCUGUAUAGUUGAUUAAUACAUUAAUCAACCUAACAAAUAGUUGAAUAAUGUAUUAAUCAAGCCUUAGUUUACAUUAUCAUUUUGUAUAGUUGAUUAAUACAUUAAUCAACCCAACAAAUAGUGGAAUAAUGUAUUAAUCAAGCCUUAGUUUACAUUAUCAUUCUGUAUACAUUAAUCAACUCAAUAAAAUAGUUGAAUAAUAUUUUAAUCAACAUUUAUUUCAAAUCAUCAUUCUGUAUAGUUGAUUAAUACCUUAAUUAACUCAUUGAAUAAUAUAUUAAUCAACACUUAGUUUACAUUAUCAGAAUGAUGAUUUGAAAUAACUUUAAGGGUUAAUAUGGUAAGGUUUUUAAACUCUUUGGUUGAUUAAGGUAUUAAUCAGCAAUGGCUUUUGUUGAUUAAUAUAUUGAUCAUUUUCUGUCCUUCCCAAAUUCUUUAUUUAGACUUCAAGUGAACUGAAUGUUAAUGAUUACUAUAUUCAGGAGAGUGCACCUGAACAGCCAGAAUCACCAUCUCAUCAAGAAAGGGCACCUGAACAACCAUAGUCAUCAUCUCGAAAACGGAAGAGAAACGAUGAUGGUGUUGCUGCAAAAAUACCAUCACGUAAAUACUUGACAAGAUCAUCAGCCACAAGAUCAUCAGCCAAAAAAUCAAAGAAACCAAAACCAGCAGCGAAAAAGACCAAGAAGAAUAGCAAAACAAAAACAAAAUGUUGGAUCUCCAAAGAAGAAGAAGAAGGAUAAUUCAUUCUUCAGAUGUUCCCUGGACCCGCUUAGAAGUUUAGCAUCAACGAUAAAGAACAAGAUGAGUGUUGAACAUCUGCAAUUUCUAAAGGGCACAACAUUUGGAAAUCUAUACAAUCUUAUGCAUUCUGGAAUGAUUGAACCGUGGAAGCCGAAGAAUGAAUCGUUUAGAACAGCCGUGUUUUGCAUUCUCGAUUGCUACUCACCAGAAGAUUGUGGUUUUAGGAUUGGGAAUGAGAUGGUCAAGUUUAGAGUUGAAGAUGUGGCAGUUCUAUUUGGCUUGAAGGGUUAUGGCGAGAUCAUUGAACAAAAAGCACGUAGUACUGACAAGCAUCGCAAAAUCGAUGUCAUCAGUAACAACUUUAAUGAGGAUAUCAACGAUUUUGCGAAGGAUAAGGUGAUGAACAAGAUUCUAACAUUAGUGGAUGAAGAUGGACACAAGAAGGAAGACCUUGGAUUCCUCAUCAUCAUCUACAUGUUCAUCACCGUAUUCUUCGCAAAUUCAGCGAGCAAGGCUUUAUGGAAUCACUUGAAUCAUCUUGAAAGCUUGAAAGGGAUGAAUUAUGUUAACUGGGCAGAGGCUGUUCAUUUCUUCCUUGUAAACAAGUUGAAUGAAAAUCAUCAGAGGAAAAACUUGCCAAUAGGACACAAAAAACGGUAAGAAGGAAAUGUGGUUAUGAGUGGAUGCACACUAGUACAACUGGUAAGUAAAGCUACAUGUUAGUUUAAUUUAUUUCUAUUUCAUCAACUUUAGUCUUGUUUAUUAAUCAAAAUUCUCUAUUUUUCAAAUGCAGUAUUGGUUAUGUGAACAUACCUACAUCAUUCCCAAGAUUCAAGGAAGAGAAGAGAUCUCUCCAAGGGUUGCAAGGUGGGACAUGAAACAUGUCAUGAUGAAGGUUCUAGAAAAUCCCACACUCAACUGGGAAGGAAUGCAGGUACAUUUUCUUUUCUGUUUGGUUGUUUAGUAUAUUAAUCAUUUUUUCUGUUUUAGUUACAUAUUGUUAAUUAUUUACAUGUUUUUCUCCUUCUGUUCUGUUUAGUUGAUUAAUAUGUUAAUCAACUUCACUAUUAGUUGAUUAACAUAUUAAUCAACUCCACUAUUACUUGAUGAAUAUUAAUCAACUUUUUGAUUAAUAUGUUAAUCAACUCCACUAUUAGUUGAUUAACAUAUUAAUCAACUCCACUAUUAGUUGAUGAAUAUUAAUCAACUUUACAAAUAGUUGAUUCAUAUGUUAAUCAACUUUAUUUAUUUAUAAUAUUGGUUCUUUUGAUUAUAAAGUUGUUAUGUCUAUUAAGACAGUAGAACAUACCAUGCCAAUUAAUGGAAAUAAAAAAUCUAUUCCUUUAAUAACUGAACAAGAUAUUAUCAGAUAUCGUCAAAAUUACCAUUAUAUCCAUAUAGGAUUAAUUCAGAUUGCAGUAAAACCUUUACACCUAAAAGGAAUCGAUUGUUGUUUUCUUCUGGCCCUUAGGGAUGCUAGGUGUGUCAAUUAUCAGAAAUCCUUGAUGGGUAUUAUGGAGUCCACCACUAGUAAUGGACCAGUUUACUGUAAUAUAUAUCCUAAUCUAGAAUUAUCUUUAUCUGAUGAUAAUAUUAUGCAAAGUGUUAUGAUGGACCUUGAUACUAAAGGAUAUGUCAUAUGUUAAUCAACUUUACAAAUAGUUGAUUAAUAUGUUAAGGGGUAUUUUGCAUUUGGUCCCUCUAGAAGAUGGUAAUUAACAUUUGGUCCAAUCUUUAUCGUUUAUUAGUAAAUUGUCCUUUUUCGUCACUUGACUGUCAGUCAACCUAGUUGACCAGAGUCAAGGCAUCCAUAUUUUCUGAAUGACCAAACUACCCUUCACGUGACUAGCACGUGAUAAAACUUAAAACUCAAAAAAAUAAAUUUAGUUGAUUGUAAACAUGCAAAAUUAGUUUAUAGUCCUUCAUAUUUCGUUUUAAAUAUAGUCCCUAUAAACAGUAAUGGAAAUAACCAUGGAAGUUAUCUUACCUUAGUUGGAGACUUGGAGUGAAGUACAACAUAUAACCACCACCCAUGGAACCUCUAGAAGUUUAUUCUCUUGUUUACAAGUGAAGAUGACAAUCAAGUGAAGAAAAUUCUAGACAUUCCAUGGGUGGUGGUUAUAUGUUCAAGUUCAAUCCGGUAAGAUAACUUCCAUGGUUAUUUCCAUUACUGUUUACAGGGACUAUAUUUAAAACGAAAUAUGAAAAAUGAGGACUAUAAACCAAUUUUCUGUUGUUUGCACGAUCCUGGUGAGAGUGGAUAUGGUGCUGUGGAGGGAGGAUGCCGUGACGUGAAAGGGUAGUUUGGUCAUUAAGAAAAUAUGGAUGUCUUGACUCUGGUCAACUGGGUUGACUGACAGUCAAGUGACGGAAAAGGGAUCAUUUACUAAGAAACGAUAAAGAUUGGACCAAAUACUAAUUACCCAUCUUCUAGAAGGACCAAAUACAAAAUAACCCAUAUGUUAAUCAACUCCACUAUUUGUUGAUAGUUGUAUUAAUCAACAAACACUAGUCUUUGAUAAUUGUAUUACAUGUUUUGAUUUACUUACAGGUGAUCAAAGAGCUUUCUGAAUUCAGUGAUGAAGAGAAAAAAUUGAUAGAACCAAGUACGAAUGAAGUUGAAGAAGAAACUGAUGAUUUAGCUACUGAGAAUCAGCGGCUAAGAGAAGAAAAUGAAGAACUGAAACGUGUGAUUCAGCAGUUACAAGCUGAAAUAGAAAAGCUGAAAAAUAAGGAUGAUGA